UGCUUAUUUGUUUUAUUUUGUGCAUAUAACUGUAUAUUUCAUGGUUGACAUAAAGUAAAUAAAUAAAUAAUUCUAACACAACCUUUUUGUCCCUAUAUGGACAUCUAAAUAUAAAUUUGUAGAUUGGCUUCAAUCAGAUUGAAAUAUCAGACAAGCUUAACAACUUAAGCUUGAAGCUUGAUUAUUCUUAUAUAAAUAAUGUAGUUGGUCUACAUAGAUUGCAGACUAUUUAGGAAGUGGUGGAGUUCAUCCUGAGGAACUUGCUGUUGGUUUAUACAAUGAUUUUCAGCCACUUGAAGGACAUGAUACUGGACAAUUUCCGGGUUUUGGAGUCCAUGGGAAAAGAGGAAGUUCAAGCAUAUCAACUUACCUCUUGAAUCCCUAAGCAGGCCAUGAAAAUUUCUAGUGUUUGUCAAGGUAUGCUUCUAUUGAUACACUGUGUAUGGCUUUCUGUUUUUCACUUGGGUUACUGUCAUGUUUAUUCUCUUGUUUUUAUAGCUAGGAUUAAGGAGUUUAUUCACUAGGUGCUGUUGUCGUCAUAGUUGCUAAGCAAGUAUCCUGAAGUUCUUUUUGUGAUACCAUCCAUCACGAAACAUAAUGAGUACAGAUUCAGAGUAAAGGGGAUUCUUCGGGCGGCUAAAUCUUUUCUGAAAACUUGUUUUCAGUAGCAUAGAUGACAGGAAUCGUGAUAUUUCCCGGGCUUUCAUGGAAGAAAAUUUUCUAAUAACUGAAACUCUUUUCAGUUGUCCACAAAUCAAAUUUGAAUAUGAAGCCAAAUAUCAGAUGCAGAUUUACGGGCUUCUUUCAGAGCGACAAAGUUCAAUGCUAUCAGUUGUAUGGGUUCAAGUGAUCGGAGCUUCAUCCAGCUCAAGUACACAUAACAGAGUAUGAAAAAUAUCCAAACUUACCGUUAAAAGUUCUCAAGUUCCAGAUUUGACCUGUAGUCACAUUCAAGUUUAUACAUGACUACUGAUAUACGAAAUGGCAAUAUUAUUCAGUUCCAGGAAAGUUACAUGCAUAGGAUCUGAGUUUCAUUUUAAUUGAAUGGUUUCAAGCUGCAAUAUAUUAUAUAUAUAUUUUAUAAUUAAUGGAGUUUGCAUUCCUCAUUACAGGAUAAGAAAGGAAGAUUAAUUCUCAGUUGGAAAAGCAUUGAAACAAGCUUCUCAUGCUCAUAAUCAGCUUCCCAGUUGCUCACCACGGUAUCUUUUCCAUAUGCACGUGUUGAUAAAAUUAUUUCUUGGUUAUAUAACCUGGAUAAAUAGCUGUUCGUUGGCAACACAAGCAACAAAAUUACACAAAUUAAUUCCAACAAAAAUAAUAUUUUUACACGAGAUAUUUGGUUGAGAGAAGAGGGUUAAUUAGAUGUUUACUAUUGAGAUCACAAUUUUGAAAUGAGCACAGGCAAUUGAACAAGCUGUUACACAGACCAUCCAGCUGAAGAAAUCAACGACUCUUCGGCAUUCGUAUGCAAGCUCGAAAACCACUGUCCUUCUGCUAAAUUAACUUGAUAGCUAGCAACCAAGACAAGGAGGAGAACCCGGCACAUUUGCAGUUUCUAGUUUUUCAUGCUUGCCAUCUUUUCUUGUGAUUGAAAUGAGUUGAGAUUUAUUUAAAGGUUUUAUCUUAGUAUGCAAUUAAUGGUUUGAAAACAGAUUAUAUGUUAUUACAAGUUAAUUUUUCUGAUAACAAUUGUUGGAAUAGGAUUCUUGUUGUAGUAUAAUUAUUAAACAUGAUUUUAUAAUUAAUGAUUCAUACAUUAAGUAAAAUAGAAACCAGGAUUUGAAAACUACCAUGUUAGUAAAAUCACUUGGAAGCAAAAGCUUAGAAUUAUCAUAUGGUGUGAAAACCGGAAAGUUCUAUGAAAACGGGAAAGUUCUAUGAAGAGAGAUGAAAUUUUCUGAAGUUCAACUGAAAUGAUUGCAAGAUUUAAUCCAACAAUGCAAGAACAUAUUUGACAUAUUAAAACUGAUGAAAAAUUCUUUAUCAUUUUCUUGGAGGUGAUCAAAGUAUUUUUGAAUUAUACUUGAUUGUACUCCAAAUGUAAGACGAAAAAGAAAUCUCUUUUAAUGUGGUUAUUCCAAAAUGGCAGAAUCUACUAUUUUGAAUCAAAGUAUAUCAUUAGAACAAGAAGGAGAGCCAAGGACAUUUUAUUUUGAGAACUACCUGAUAGAGUGCUCCAUUCUUGACAUAGUACCGGCCUUCGUCGUCAUGCCACAGAAUCUGAUCUUCUUUGAGGAAAUGAAUGCUUUGAUGGAAGAAGAUCUUGAGCAAGAAAAAGGCCAGCAUGGAAGAGAGAUGAAGAAAAUCUCCAAUUAUGCAAAUAUGGUCUGAUUGGCCUGUAAGAUAACUAACCAAACUAAUCACUACUUUCAAUCUCAAUCAAAUUCCAAAAACAAUCUAUUUUCUAUUCAAACUCAGGUGGUGAUCGGCUAAAUAAAUUUGUUUGAAAACUACCGAACAAAGCUCUAGGGAUAUAGUACAUUGUUUAUUGAAAUUGAAUACGUAGACAGAAAUAUAAGAGCAUCUUGUUGAAAUUUGUUUGAGAUGUAGUGAUUGAUUUGGUAUAACAUAUGUAUCCAUGUCCAGGAUGAAGCUUGGCCGAAACUAAGUAGGUUAGAAUAAUAUGAGCUGACUUUCAAUCUAUGCCAUUGAUUCAAUGACUUUAGAUAUGUCCGUGAUAUAAACUAUUAAAAUAAUUAAAAUUAUGUAUUUUAUUUCUUUAAUUUUAUGGUAUUAGUUAAUUUUGAACUAGUCAAAAGUAGUUGCACUUAUUUUGUGGAACUACAUGUAAUUAGUGGAGAAUUAUGUGAGAACGUGCUUAGUGUCACUAAUUUUUAGGUUGUAAUCCUAAAUAAGCUUUAUUAUAUAAAGCUUGAUGUUAUUCAAUAAAAAGUAUCAUAAGUUUAUUAUUUUGGCAACAUAAAAGUUGUAAUUGGGAGUUUAUUGGUUUCUCGAAUAACCAAUACUUAUUUGGAGAUUUGGAUUUGUUCGAAUUAACCCCAUUUAUCAUCUAAUUUUUCUAUUUCAUUUGAUUUCUUCUUAUAAACUUUAGUGCUCGUAUCAGUCCACAACUCAUCAUGCUGAUAAUGUCCUAUCUGUGACUUGUAAAAUUUCUCUUAUGAGUAUUACAUAAGCUGUUAUGAAAGAGCCUUUAUUAGAGGAGUUGAUUCUGUCUCAUGGAUGGCAAAUAACUCAGCGACGCUUUUGAGUCCUCAAAGUGAUGGUUCUCAUUGUUGGACCUUCUUCAGCACUGCAGCUUACGGGAAAGGAAACAAGGUUCCACUGGUCAGUUUGUUUGUAAAUGCAUGUCUUGUUAAAUACUUAUGAUUAUAUGCUGGCAUUGUCACACUUUUCUAACCAAUAGGCUAGGCCUCUAGUUGAAUUCAUUCAUCCUUCAGCUUGCAAUCUCAAGCUAUUGAAACGUGGUUUUUUUUUACCGCAUAUUUAUAUAGAGUUUGCAAUAAGAUUAGCUUUAUCUUCCCUUUUGUACUUGAAUCAAUAUGACAUUUCAAAUUUUACAGCAAAAUUAUGUGCUGCGUUGAUAUGUAUAUGUUGCAAUUUAGGCUUUUUGCAAGAUUUUUACGAUUGUUUUCAUAAUUUAUUAGGAAAAUAUGCCAACUGCAACAGCAUCGAAGGUGAAAACAGGUAUGCUCGAGGGUGUUGGAGCCGUUGCUUGGCCUGCCGAUAGGUCUUGUCGGAAGCCCAUUUAUACUUGAGUCCAAUUAUGGUAAGGAUCCACUUUUAUGGACAUGACCUUGCAAUUUCAUUUAUAUCAUGUCCCAUUUGGAUCCCUUGUGACCUACUUGGGCAGUAACCAUUUGCUGUUGCUUUACAAUGAUUGGUUCACUUGGGCAAGCAUCAAGUAUAAUAUUAAAACAUAGGUAACAAACAAGAUUAGGCUCAACUCGAAUUCUUCAAACUAGUGAGAUAAGACCCUGCAAAACCUGAGUUUGUCAACCACAGCGAUGUUGGAAAUAUUCAGGUUCUUUUUACUGUGCUUUGUUGUAUAUAUCAGGCGAAUAUGGCUCGGGAGGACAAAUGGGAUAAGACCCUGCAAACCAAAUAUAUGAGGCAAGCCCAAGAACAAAUGACAGCUAUAGUCUCUUUGUUUGCAUUUGGGAAAUAGUACACGAAACAAUAGUCUCUUCGUUUGCAUAUUUUUCCAACUCGCUGUAAUUUGUAUAUACAUUGUGGGGUUUAAAAAGUUCUCAAACUGAAAAAAGAAAUCAUGCGUUGAUUUAAUUGUAUAUGUCUUUGUUCGUCUUUUAUUGUAAUUCUGAUUAAGAUUAAAUUUGUAAAUCAAAUAAAUUACUGUAUGUUAAAUAUUUGUUUUUCCUUUUUCCAAUUUUAAGGAUGGAACUUUGAUUACUUAUAGAAUGACAAUCACAUGGAAUUAUCAAUGAGCACCCAUGAGCCGUAUAUCAAAAUUCAAUAGCCCCAGAGCCAAUUAUAAUUUUUCUCAUUGAUAUCUAUUGCUUUUGGGUCUGGGGGUGUUUGAUGUUGAUUGCCGGGAUUGUCAUUGAUAUCUAUUGUUUGAUGCUGAUUGCUCUGGGGCUGUUGAAUUUUUUUGCCCUUUUUUUUUUCAUUCCACACAUCCUAAUAUGCGCACAAAAGAUAUCAAUGAUAUUAAUGACAAUAUCAUAUAUCAAAAUUCAACAGCCCCAGAGCAAUCAGCAUCAAACAAUAGAUAUCAAUGACAAUCCCGGCAAUCAACAUCAAACACCCCCAGACCCAAAAGCAAUCGAUAUCAAUGAACACCCAUGAGCCAUGAAUAAUAUCAAUAAAUUCCUUGGUUGAAACCUCGAAGAAACCCAGAAACCCUUCAAUUCAAACCUCAAAAAAUGUGCCCCGGAUAUAACUCAUAUCAGCGCUCUGUUUUCUGGGAUGAGGAUAAAAACCUCGUUCAUUUCAAGAACCCUCUUCCAUCAGGGAUGAAGAAAGAGGAUGUGAAGGUUGAGAUUGAUGAAGAUGGGAAAUUGCUUAUAGAAACAAGCAAAGGGGUAAGGUCACAUAUUGAUCCUCUCUCUUCAGCUUCUUCCUCGAUGAUCAGAUUCGGAUCCUCUUUCCUAAGCUUCUCGAAGAAAAAUGAAGGAGACACCGCCAGCCCGAUAAUGUCGAUGAAAUUCAACUUCCCAGCAGGUCUUGACCCGAAAGGCUUCAAGACUGCAAUCGAUGACGAGGGGUUGCUGACUCUCACUUUUAAAAAGCUCGUUGCCAUUCAUUCCGAAACGCCCUUCGACCUCAAAAACGACUCCGAGUGGGUGACUGCUAAAGAGAACAACAAGGACAUUGUUCACUUCAAGGCCAAUUUGGCAGCGGGCACGAAGAUGGGGGAUGUGAUGGUUGGUAUAGCAGGUGGUAAUUCCCUUAUCAUAGGUUUGCUGAAGAAAGAGGAAGGGGACACCAAUAUUCUCAAGCGGUUCCAUGGCAACAACUGUUGGAUCUCCGUUUUGCCAGAUGGUGCGAACCCGGAUGGCUUCAAGGAUGCAAUGGAUGAUGCCGGCCUUCUAACUGUCACCUUCACUAAACUGAAGCCAGAGAAGAAGAAGCUGAUGCCAAGCCCAAAGAAGAUACUGGGAUAUUUGGCCUGCUUGUUUGCUGAUAGGUUGCAGGAUAGGUGAUGAGAUGAGUUCAGGAGACUACUAGUAAGCUGGUGUCAAGUAGAUAUUUCCUUCAUGUUCAUGUGUUUUGUUCUGUCGUUUAUCUUUAGCGUUUGAAAGAAACUCUGGACGUCUAGACCAGGUGUUCGUUAAUUUCUGUGUUUGCGUGGUGUUGUAUCUCCUUUGUGUCAGUGAAAUAGAAAGGGCUUUGUCUAAUAAAAAAUGAUAAACGCUGUUGAGCGAAAAAUAAAUGCAUUUUUUUUUUUUUAAUCGUGUUGAAUAUUAAAAAAAAAAAACAAGGCCUGUUUUCAUGCAUACGUGCAGCCACAAGAUAAAGGAGUAACUGGAGAUCGGUCAGGUGAGCCAAUCAUGCUACAGAAUCUGCAAUCUGUGUAUAAAAGAAUUAAAAAGACAAAAAAAAAAAAAAAAAAACUGCUAGCGGUUGGUUACUUUUUUUAUUUAUAAAUGAGUACAUCGGUAAUGGUAUCGGGCCAAUGCUCGAGCCAGAGCCCCACUUUUCUCCUUUAAUAAUCGCUCAUUUCACUAUUUCAGCGCAAUAGAGGGUAGGGUGAUGCUAAGUUACAGUAUUUGUACCUUACAGCCACCUUAGUACAGAAAAACAAAAAGCGGACACAAGUGGGGUUCAUGGUCACUUUGUGAGGGUGCUGUAAGGUACAGAUACUGUACCGUAGCAUUCUCCGAGAGAGUAAAGGCAACUUUUGAAGAUAAGAACGAGAUGACAGAGAAAAUAAAACGACCCAUGUGAUUAUCAGUCCAUAGAAAUCUACACCAAAUUCUCAGGUCUCCGCAGUGACGCGCACACAAAUAUUUCAAGAUUAUGGCAACUUCUGCAACUCAUUCCUUUGAGCUUCAAGGUGGCCAUCGAAAAAAUAACUGGGUAAUAUGACACAACAAAGAUUUACCUUCACCGAACUGAAGCCGGAGAAAAAGGCGGUGUCAAGAUCAAAGAAGAUGCCGCGAGGUUUGGCUGAAGCAGUGCCUGUUUGUAUCUUGAUAGGUUACUAGAUAAGUUGGGGAGACUACUAAUUAGCUGGUGGCAGGUAAGGUAUUUGCUAACAUCAUGUUCCAAAAUGCAAAAUCCUGUAUAGUUUGCUAUUGGAAAAUAGGAAAAAAGGAAAAAAAGAUAUCUAGUUUUACAUUCUACCAUUACAAUGGAUUAGGAAUGGUGAAGAAUCUCAUUUGGUACAGGGCAACCUUUUCAAAAUGCAAAAUCCUGUAUAGUUUGUUGAUAUAUAUAUAUAUAUUUUUUUUUUUCUUUUGUGGGAUACUAGAACUUCAGAAAGAUUGGAAAACUUCAUAAAAUUUCAUACAGAUUUUUUCACUCUAAAUUUUGAGAAAAUGAUAGCUAGAUUACAACUAAGAUUAAUAGCAACUCUCAGCUGCAAACAACUAGAAGGCUGGUACUAAAUGCCAAUUUUGAAAUAGAACAUGAAGCCGUAAGUUCCCAAGUAGUGGAAGGAGCCCAAGGCUCUGAUCAUGUGCCCGUUGAAGAAUGAGCCGGCAAAUCCUAAGCAGUGGCUUGGUUAGGGAAAGCCACCGAAAUGAGUCUCCAUUGGGCAAUUGCCACUACUUAUGUACCCAAACAUGGGUGAUCUAUCCCUGACCAGGAUGAAGCUUGGGCGAAACUGAGUAGGUUAGAAUAAUAUGAGCUGACUUUCAAUCUAUGCCAUUCAUUCAAUGACUUUGGAUAUGUCCACAACUCAUCAUCUUGAUAAUGUCCUAUCAGUGUCUUGUAAACUUCUCUUAUGAGUAUUAAAUAGGUUGUUAUGAAAGAAUUGAAAUCAUCUUUAUAAAUGUAACGACCAGAUAGGGUUCUAGACCUAGAAGAUGAGGUUAUGUUUGUUUCCUUUCUGUUUCUUGUUGAUUGUAGACUGUUUAUUGCUUGUGGCUGCUAUUUACAGUUUGGCUUUGUGCUGUGGUAAUGGUUCCCUAAUGUAAUGGGAGGAAAAUUUUCAAAUUGGCUGCUUGGUUCAUCUAGCUUACCUCUAAUAGCUAGACAAAACGAAGUUAUAUAUACUUUGAAAUAUUAAGUUUUUUUUGUAUUAUUAUCUGUUACAGAGCAUGGUCAGAGCUGUGAGGAUGAGCACACUUGAUAACUUGAUAGCUUACGUGUAAAAGAGUCAGUUAGCUGAGUCAGCUACUUGGUUAACCAAUUGGUUUAGCGUGUAUAGAAUAUAAAACAGAUUUAGUUUACAUUGUAACCAAGUAUAAAUAAAGAGCUGUAAGCACGAUUGUGUGGUUGAGUUUUAUUCAAUAAAUUCCAGAUUCUUCUUCAUAACUUUUCUUCGUUUUCUCAUUGUUUUUCUUACUCUCCAAACACAUAAUUACAGAUUCUUUCAUGGUAUCAGAGCAAUCAAUGAUGAGCUCGAAUCAAACCUCUGGAUCUUAUAGUUUUGUUACUCCUGUGAAACUCGACCAGAAUAACUUCAUUGUUUGGAGAACUCAGAUUUUAACAACGAUUAAAGGUAACAGGUUGGAGAGCUUUAUCAAUGGUGAUCGAGCCUGUCCAGAGCAAUUUCUUCCAUCAGCUGUCACUGGAGCUAUUGAUUCAACAAGAUCAAAGGAUUGAGAAAUUAAUCCAGAGUUUUUAGCUUAGGUGAAGACUGAUCAGUUGAUUCUGAGUUGGAUGAUGUCAUCAAUUCAACAAAAUUUGCUGGCAACGGUGAUUCAUUGCUCUACUGCUAAAGAGCUUCUGGACACACUUACUAGUAUGUUUAUCUCACAAUCUCAGGCUAGAAUAAUGCCUCUUAAAAUGCAGAUUCAAACACUUAAAAAAGGCUCAAUGUCAAUGAUUGAUUAUUUUGCUAAAAUGAAAAGGUUAUCUGAUAGCUUAGCUCUGGCUGGAAAACCUGUUGAAUUGAAUGAUUUUGUUCAAUAUGUUUUGACUGGAUUGGAUUCCUCAGAUUAUGAGUCUCUUGUUACGAGCGUCUUAGCUAGAGGUGACAAGAUUAAUCUUGAUGAGUUUUACUCUUUACUGUUAAGUCAUGAGAAUAGAGUUGAGCAGAAGAGAGGCAAAAUUGCUAGUGAUGUUACUCAUAAUUUGUCAGCUAAUAUGGCAUAAAAACAGUUUAAUUCUGGAAAAAAUGCUGGUGGUAAUCCAAGAUAUAAUAAUAAUAUAACUUAUGGUGGAGGUGUCUAUGGAAAUUUUGCUAAUGGAAAUGGUAUGGGACAAUCUGGUGAUGGUAAUUCAACUAUCAUUUGUCAAAUCUGUUUUAUACCGGGUCAUGGAGCUCACAAGUGCAAGAAUAGGUACAAUUCUGCUUUUGUACCUUCAAGGAAUCAAGCAAGAGGAAAUUUUAAUGGCAAUUUUAGGGCUGGUCAAAGGAAUUUUGGAAGGGGAUUUGGAAAUUCAGGUGGCAGAUUUUUUAAUGGUGCUUAUGGCAGAGGGUUUAAUUCUCAAUUUGGCAAUGUCUUUACUAAACAUAAUGCUGGAAAUUUCAAUUUGCCAAGAGGUCCAGGAUAUCAAAGCUAUGUGAUGUGCUCAGAUCCAGCUGCUUUUUAUGUUACUCAACCUGGUAGCUCCACUAAUGCAAGUUCUUCUGCUUCUGGUUUUGGUUUUACUGGAGAUUACAGUGGCUGCUCUCCUUCCGCACCCACAGUUCCUACUCCUGAGAUGGUUGAAGAUCCCACCUGGUACAUUGACAGUGGUGCAACUAAUCAUAUCACCAAUGAUGCAGGUAAACUUCUUGAACCAAAAUCUUAUAGUGGAAGUGAAAAGUUGCUUGUUGGUAAUGGUUCUUCUCUGCAUAUUAAACAAGUUGGAUCAGUAUUGCUAGCCACAACUACAUCUGAAUCUUUGUUGCUAAGUCAUGUUCUUUAUGUUCCUCAAAUAACAAUUCCAGAUUCUUCUUCAUAACUUUUCUUCGUUUUCUCAUUGUUUUUCUUACUCUCCAAACACAUAAUUACAGAUUCUUUCAUGGUAUCAGAGCAAUCAAUGAUGAGCUCGAAUCAAACCUCUGGAUCUUAUAGUUUUGUUACUCCUGUGAAACUCGACCAGAAUAACUUCAUUGUUUGGAGAACUCAGAUUUUAACAACGAUUAAAGGUAACAGGUUGGAGAGCUUUAUCAAUGGUGAUCGAGCCUGUCCAGAGCAAUUUCUUCCAUCAGCUGUCACUGGAGCUAUUGAUUCAACAAGAUCAAAGGAUUGAGAAAUUAAUCCAGAGUUUUUAGCUUAGGUGAAGACUGAUCAGUUGAUUCUGAGUUGGAUGAUGUCAUCAAUUCAACAAAAUUUGCUGGCAACGGUGAUUCAUUGCUCUACUGCUAAAGAGCUUCUGGACACACUUACUAGUAUGUUUAUCUCACAAUCUCAGGCUAGAAUAAUGCCUCUUAAAAUGCAGAUUCAAACACUUAAAAAAGGCUCAAUGUCAAUGAUUGAUUAUUUUGCUAAAAUGAAAAGGUUAUCUGAUAGCUUAGCUCUGGCUGGAAAACCUGUUGAAUUGAAUGAUUUUGUUCAAUAUGUUUUGACUGGAUUGGAUUCCUCAGAUUAUGAGUCUCUUGUUACGAGCGUCUUAGCUAGAGGUGACAAGAUUAAUCUUGAUGAGUUUUACUCUUUACUGUUAAGUCAUGAGAAUAGAGUUGAGCAGAAGAGAGGCAAAAUUGCUAGUGAUGUUACUCAUAAUUUGUCAGCUAAUAUGGCAUAAAAACAGUUUAAUUCUGGAAAAAAUGCUGGUGGUAAUCCAAGAUAUAAUAAUAAUAUAACUUAUGGUGGAGGUGUCUAUGGAAAUUUUGCUAAUGGAAAUGGUAUGGGACAAUCUGGUGAUGGUAAUUCAACUAUCAUUUGUCAAAUCUGUUUUAUACCGGGUCAUGGAGCUCACAAGUGCAAGAAUAGGUACAAUUCUGCUUUUGUACCUUCAAGGAAUCAAGCAAGAGGAAAUUUUAAUGGCAAUUUUAGGGCUGGUCAAAGGAAUUUUGGAAGGGGAUUUGGAAAUUCAGGUGGCAGAUUUUUUAAUGGUGCUUAUGGCAGAGGGUUUAAUUCUCAAUUUGGCAAUGUCUUUACUAAACAUAAUGCUGGAAAUUUCAAUUUGCCAAGAGGUCCAGGAUAUCAAAGCUAUGUGAUGUGCUCAGAUCCAGCUGCUUUUUAUGUUACUCAACCUGGUAGCUCCACUAAUGCAAGUUCUUCUGCUUCUGGUUUUGGUUUUACUGGAGAUUACAGUGGCUGCUCUCCUUCCGCACCCACAGUUCCUACUCCUGAGAUGGUUGAAGAUCCCACCUGGUACAUUGACAGUGGUGCAACUAAUCAUAUCACCAAUGAUGCAGGUAAACUUCUUGAACCAAAAUCUUAUAGUGGAAGUGAAAAGUUGCUUGUUGGUAAUGGUUCUUCUCUGCAUAUUAAACAAGUUGGAUCAGUAUUGCUAGCCACAACUACAUCUGAAUCUUUGUUGCUAAGUCAUGUUCUUUAUGUUCCUCAAAUAACCAAAAAUUUACUUAGUGUCUCAAAACUUCUAGCUGAUAAUAAUGCUACUAUUGAAUUUCUUGAAAAUUGUUGUUUUGUUAAGGCCAGGAGCUUAGGGACCAUCUUGCUUAAAGGAAUUGCAAAAGGAGGAUUGUAUCAAGUCCAAAUUGCAUCCCAAUCUUCUGAUGAUAGCCCAGUUUCAUUUUGUCAAUCUUCUGUCAAUCACUUUGAAUCUAUGUUUGCUUAUUUUCCUUCUUUGUCUUGUAAUGGUUCUGCUGUCCAGAAUAAUCCUUCCCUUGUCAGUAAUAACUUAUGUAAGUCAGCCCUGAUAGUUAAUGCAAGCACUGCUGACAUCAAUUUGCUUCACAAAAGGCUAGGACAUCCGGCUUUUCAUACUCUAAAAAAUGUAUUGAAGGAUUGUACUGACUUUUCCUUGAAUAAAAUCAAACACUUGAGUUUCUGUAAUGCUUGUCAAUUUGGUAAAAGUCAUCUGUUACACUUUGAUUCUGUUCCAACAAAAACAGUAGAGCCUCUUCAACUCUUAUAUGCUGAUCUUUGGGGUCCUUCUCAUGUUACUUCAACUCAGGGUUAUUCCUAUUAUUUUUCCAUUCUAGAUGAUUUCAGUAGGUUUACAUGGAUCUUUCCCUUGACUGCUAAAUCUGAUGCUCUUCAAGUGUUCAUAAACUUCAAAAACUUCAUUGAAAAACACUUGCAUAGGCAUAUCAAAACUGUCCAGACAGAUUGGGGAAUGGAAUUUAGAAGUUUCUCCAUAUAUCUUGAUCAAUUUGGUAUUCAAUUCCGACAUCCUUGUCCUCAUAUUCAUCAUCAAAAUGGUAGAAUAGAAAGAAAACAUAGGCACAUUGUGGAUAUUGGCCUCACUUUGUUAGCCCAAACAAGUUUGCCACUAAAAUUCUGGUGGAAUGCUUUUCACACAGUUGUGUUUCUCAUCAAUAGAUUACCUACACCAACCUUGAAUAAUAUUUCACCUUAUCAAAAAAUCUUUCAUCAAAAACCAGAUUACAAUUUUCUUAGAACCUUUGGUUGUGCUUGUUAUCCGUACCUCAGGCCAUAUAAUAGGCACAAACUUGAGUUUAGAUCAGGUAGAUGUGUCUUCAUUGGGUACAGCUCUCAACAUAAAGGGUACCAAUGUCUUCAUUCUUCUGGUAGGGUGUACAUCACCAAUCAUGUCAUCUUUGAUGAAAACUCCUUUCCAUAUGUGCCUGGCUCAUACUUUUCUUCUGUCACACAAUCAUGUAAUUCAAAUGAUACAGUUUCCCAUUCGUCCACUAUCUCUACUCCUAUCUUUACUCAUUUUCCAGCACUGCAAUCUCCUCUACAAUCCUCUUCAGCAAGUGGUUCCUCCGAGUUUUCAACAACAAUUCCUAGCCAGGUAAAAUCCCCUUAUUCUUCUUCUCAUACACCACAAAUGUCUGAUAUACAACCUUUAAAUGAUACUCAAUCACCACCACAUAUAAUACCUGCUGCACCACUAAUAGGACAUUCUAUGAUCACCAGAUCUAAAGCUGGCAUUUUUAAGCCAAAGUCUUAUCUUGCUGCUCUUUUAGCCACACUCUCAAAACCUACCUCUGUUUCCCAAGCAAUCACUGAUCCAAAAUGGUUUUAAGCAAUGCAUGAGGAGUAUCAAGCACUUCAAAACAAUCAUACCUGGGUUUUAGUACUACCAUCAACACCUGUCAAAGUAAUUGGCGGCAAGUUGGUUUUCAGAAUUAAAUAUAACUCGGAUGGAACCAUUUCUAGAUACAAAGCAAGACUUGUGGCAAAAGGUUUCCAUUAGACACAUGGAAUAGAUUAUACUGAAAGCUAUAGUCCAGUUGUGAAAGCUUCCGCAGUUAGAAUAGUUUUGAGUUUAGCUGUCAUGAACAAAUGGAUCCUCAGACAGGUAGAUGUAAACAAUGCAUUCUUGAAUGGUUUUUUGGUUGAAGAUGUGUAUAUGGUCCAGCCUGAAGGAUUUGUUGAUCCUACAAAGCCUACUCAUGUAUGCAAACUCAAGAAGGCCAUCUAUGGAUUAAAGCAAGCCCCCCGAGCAUGGUUUGACAGAUUCAAGAAUGCUAUGGUAGAUCAGUGUGGUUUUUUAAACUCUAAGUCUGACAGCUCUCUCUUCUAUAAGUGGGAAAAUAAUCAUAUCUUGCUUGUCUUAGUAUAUGUUGAUGACAUAAUUGUUACUGGAUCUAACUACCAACUAGUGCAGCAAGUAAUUCAUAAUAUGCAGACUACUUUUGCCUUGAAGGAUUUGGGGGAGUUAAGCUAUUUUCUUGGGAUUGAAGUCUCUAAGACAGCAGCUGGAGUUCAUCUAUCUCAAGCCAAAUAUAUAGCUAAUCUCUUCGCAAAACAUGAUAUGGCAAGUUGCAGUCCAGUUCCUACUCUUAUGUCCACAGGGCAUCAUCUCACAAAAGGUUCAGGCUCACCUAUUUCGAAUGCAUCUUAGUACAAAAGUAUAAUUGGGGCCUUGCAGUAUGUGACUCUAACAAGACCUGAGAUAGCAUUCUCAGUUAACAAACUAAGUCAAUUUCUAUCUUUACCAAUGAUAGAACAUUGGGAAGCAUGGAAAAGACUUUUGAGGUAUUUGAAGGGAUCCAUUCAUUUUGGCUUGCAUUUUUAUCAUUGUGGAACUUUACAAGUGAACUGUUAUAGUGAUUCUGAUUGGGCAUGUGACAAAGACGAUAGAAAAUCAGUAGCUGGGUAUGCAGUGUAUCUUGGUUCGAAUUUAGUUUCAUGGUGUUCUAAGAAACAACAAGUGGUUUCAAGGUCCAGUACUGAAGCUGAGUACAGAGCCUUAGCUCAAGCUACAUCUGAAGUUGUUUGGAUUGAAAAUCUGCUUAGUGAGUUGAAAAUCAAACUUGUUGCAGAACCUAUUAUGUGGUGUGAUAAUCAAGGUGCCAUAGCUUUGGCUUACAAUCCAGUUUAUCAUGCUAAAACUAAGCAUGUUGAAUUGGACAUUCACUUUAUCAGGGAGAAAAUAGCGGCCAAAAAGAUUGAAGUGCAAUUUGUUCCAAGUGAGGAUCAAACUGUAGAUAUACUUAUCAAGCCAUUAACUUUUGACCGCUUCCAUUAUCUUCGCAGCAAGCUAAAUGUCCAUCCUGGACAGUUUAGCUUGAGAGGGGAUGUUACAGAGCAUGGUCAGAGCUGCGAGGAUGAGCACACUUGAUAACUUGAUAGCUAACGUGUAAAAGAGUCAGUUAGCUGAGUCAGCUACUUUGUUAACCAAUUGGUUUAGCGUGUAUAGAAUAUAAAACAGAUUUAGUUUACAUUGUAACUAAGUAUAAAUAAAUAGUUGUUAUCUAGCACAUGUUUUAUUCAGUAUCAGCCAUUUAUAAAUUAUUUCAAAGAUUCAUGGUGCAUUUUCCUGGUUUGCAGAGGCUAGAACUAGGUUUUAUAUCGGCCCUUCUUGUCGCAUUUGAGGAUCCCCUUCAACUAGGCAGUGACAUUUGAAGGAGCUUUUAUUAGAGGUGUUGAUUCUGUCUCAUGGAUGGCAAAUAACUUAGUGAAGCUUUUGAGUUCUCAAAGUGAUGGUUUUUCAUUGUUGGACCUUCUUCAAACUAGUGAUACUGGAAUUUUUUGUUUCUGAGUUUGUCAACCACAUCCAUGUUGGAAAUAUUCAGGUUCUUUUUGUUGUGCUUUGUUGUAUAUAUCAGGCGAAUAUGGUUCGAGAGGACAAAUGGGAUAAGACCCUGCAAACCAAAUAUACGAGGCAAGCCCAAGAACAAAUGAGAGCCAUAGUCUCUUUGUUUGCAUUUGAGAAAUAGUACACGAAACAAUAGUCUCUUCGUUUGCAUAUUUUUCCAACUUGCUGUAAUUUGUAUAUACACUGUGGGGUUUAAAAAGUUCUCAAACUGAAAAAAGAAAUCAUGCGUUGAUUUAAUUGUAUAUGCCUUUGUUCUUCUUUUAUUGUAAUUUUGAUUACGAUUAAAUUUGUAAACUGCAUUGAGGAAUUUUAUCGAGACUUUUGAGAAGUGCGAGAAGAAGCUCACACCUACAGAGGGGUGCCGGUUGUCCCACCUCGUCGAAGGGAUGUUAAAGAUUUUUAAUGGGCUAAGCCAACAUGGCCCUCUUAGAUAUUUUGGGCUUUUACCAACAAGUUCCUGGUCACACCCCUCAAACCUCCUUAUCAAACCUUUUUUUUUUAAAUAAAAAUAAAAUCACUAAAUAACUAAAUACAAUUUAAUUUCUUUCUUUAUUUUUAAAUGAAAAUUUAAUUAUAUAUUUAAAUAAAUUGUUAUUUUAACAAAUAUUUUAUUCCUGCCCCAUUUUAUAAUUAUAUUUUGAUUUCAAUAACUCGAUAUAUCAACACACGAUUUUCAAGUUCUUUUAUUUUGACUCGCCAAUCAAUAGGAGGCUGAGAUACUGUUUUUGAUGACCUCAUUACACAUAGAUUGCAGAGUUUGUUGAGAUUGCACGAAUUUGCAAUGAUAAUGUUGUCUUUUUAGCCACUGUGAUAGUGUUUCUGAUGACUUCCGUUCCCUGACAGCAUUGAAACAUUUAGAUGACAUCCUUGAAGGGGAGAAAUUUUCAAGAUUCUCAAGGAGGAAUUUUUUUAGCAGCUUAAAUGGAUUUUUAAAAGCCUCAGAUCAAAUGAAAUGUUCAUUGAAUUGGAUGAAACUACAAUUAAGGUAAAUACGAGCAAGAGAUGCUGCCUUUACUAAAACAUUCCGGUAUGAUAAAAAUUGUUACAAAAACUUUUUAACUUUUGUAACAAACAAUCAAUGGUCCAGGUUACAUCAAAACUAAAAUAAAGAAGCACAACAAAUUCUAUACACAAUUUGUCUUGAAGUCCCUUGCUGAGUCACCAUGCUUACAACAGUGUCGAUCUUUUUAUUUCAAGCUCUUUCUUCUUGAUGCUUUGAUAUCAGCCAUUGGAUCACUGGGUGAUGGUUGUCGAAGCCAGCAAAAAUAAAUACCUACUCUAAAUAAAUUGUGUAUAGUGAUUGAGCAGGGUCGUGUCCACAGAGAUCGGUAAUUAUUUAAAUCCUUUUGAAACGUAAAACGUAAAAUGAGAGAAUUGUUGACAAUAAUAAAAAUCAAAUUAAAAUAACAAGAAUGUAAAUUAAAGUUGUAAUUCAAAUUGGAAAAAGCUCUAGUUGAAGGAAAUAACUCAGCUUGAUUCUACUACUCAUCAUUGAUUCAAAUAUAAAUUAUUACUACUUAUGAAUAGACCAGUUAUAGCUACUGAGACCCUCUAAUAGUUAAUCUCUCCUUAACUAGUCGAUAACCAAGGUACGACCGUUGGUUAUUUCCCUAAUCAAUAGACAACCCUAGAUACGAUCAUAGGAUUUAAUCAAUUGACAGCCUGAAAAACCAGAUAGACCCAAAUCCUAAUAAACAAACACAUACGAUAGUUUAUUUAAAUUAGAUUGUUUAUUCUCACAACACAACUCUCUGCUAUGUUAUUUGUCACAAAUAUUAAAAUCUUCAUACGAUGAAUCCUUUAAUUGACAAUAGAUUAAGUUGUUAAUUAAAUAGUGGCCAAUUACCUAAUUAACAAACAUAAUCAUGAAAAUAAUUCAGAGAAUAAACAAAUACCCAAAAAGUAAUAAAACAAUUAAAGCAUAAGAAAGAUCUUACAAUAGUGAUGAAUCAAAGCUUCAUUAACCUUCAACCAGAAUAAUAGGUUUAGUUCUUCAUAGAGAGAAGAGAAAAAUUUAGAUCUAGGGUUUCUUUCUUUUUCUCCAAUCCCUCUUUUUCACAAUAAAUUCCUCCCUUAAAUACUCUCUCUUUAUUCUCCUCUAGAAUUCUAUUUAAAAUAAAAUACUAAUAUCUGAAAUAUUAAAUUCGUAAUUACAAAAAUACAAAACACGUUAAACUAAAAACUGCAUGUCCGUAGUUGACAGCACGCGCCCACGUCUUAUCAACAAAGUUCUUCUGACGCUCAUAAUUUCUCCAAGAGAACAAUCAUCCUUAAACAUCAUCUUAUAACUCAAUUUUAGCACCAAUCAAUAGAAUUGCACCUAUAAAAAUAAAACACAAGUAAAUCACUAUUAUUAAGUGCAAAAUAUCGAUAUUAAGGGAAGUAAACAAUGCAAAACUAAUGCAUAAAUUGCACUCUAACAAAUUCCCCAACACCAAGACGAUGCUUGUCCUCAAGCAUAUAACUCAAGACUAAUCUCAAAUCUCCACUAAAUUCUCAUCUCAACUCAUCCAAAAACAAUUUUAAGCAAGCAUACCUCAAGAAAUUAAGUCGAUCAACAUUUGAGAGACAAGGAUUUUAAAGCAUAGAAUCUCAUAAGAUAGAAUAAGAACAUUCAACCACCAAGAAGAUCCAUUCAAAAUUCAAGUGCAACAAGAUUUCAUAGCCCUCUCAUUGACUUCACUCCAUGCACUCAAAGUGUUUAUGGUGUCAUUUAUGCACUCAAAUCAAAUCAAAGAAUACUAUUACCAUAAGCUUGCUUAUAUAUCACAUCCCAAUCCACAAAACAUGAAUUAAAUGCAAAAAUCUAAGGGUCUUAAAAAGGUUGUAACGGGGUUAAAUGGGUUAAAUGAAAAAGAAAGGUCUAUGAAAGAAAAAGAGAUCAAAAUGAAAAGAAUGAACUCAUUGAAUGAACUUUAUGAUAUCGAAACGCUUAUUUCUACUCAAGUCACCAAGAAUGUAUUUUUUUCUUUUUUUUUCGACUUUUUUUCUUUUCUUUUUCCUUUUUUUUUUAAUCAAACAAAAGAAACGAACCUUGCACAAUUUAAUUCAAGCAUAAUGCUUGUUGAUCUAAUUGAGAAAUUUUAAUACAAGGUAGAAAAAGCAACAAAAUAUAUACAAAAUAUAUCCACACAAUGAGUCCAAAAAUCUCCUUAAAUUGAGGCUCAAAAAGAAGAAAAAUUAUUAAGUAGACGGAGAGAAUUAGAUGGGUAAUGGUUAAGGCUCAAACAAAGAUAGCAAAUAAAGGUCUUCGGGUAGAGAAAAAAAAAAUGCGAGAAUAGAAAAAUGGAAAAUGGUUUGCCCUUAUCAUUUUAAUGCAUAAAAUCCCGUAAUGCGGCUUCAACAUGCAUAAGAAAGCAAGUUCUAGAAUAAACAAACUAAGAUUGAUAUUCACAUAACAAAAAUAUUAGAGCAAAGUGGUUGCUCGUAGGCUCAAAUCCUCACAAAGUUGGUAAAUUUGCCAUCAAAUCAUGUACACUCUUCAAAUGAAUCAACCAUCAAUAGUGGUUUGGAAUGAGAAGAAGGUAUGAGUAAUAUAUAAAAGGAAAGGUAAAAAGGAUAAUAAGCGAGAAAGAUGUAUGUAGUAAAAAAAAUGAAAGAUAAAAUGUGAGUGAUGAAAGAGUAUGAUAGAAAAAAUAGAUGUAAAUAAUUUGAGAUAGAUGAGAAAAGAGUAGUGAGAAAGAAAAGAAAAGAAAAAUAAUAAUAUAUGAAGCAUACUAACUCCAAAAUCAUUUAAGGAUGAGUAGAGUGAAAAUAAUACUUCCAGACAUCAAUCAUGCAAAAAUUCCUCCCCCACACCCAGACCUUACAUUGUCCUCAAUGUAAGAUAAUCAAAGCUCACAUAAAAAUUAAAGCAUAAGGAUAAAAGAUUAAAGGUAAAAACUUCCCUGAAUUGUGAGCUUUGAUCCACAUAACGUCUAUGGGCUUGGCGGAAAUGGUGGGAUAAAUCCCACACUCUCGAAGUAUGCGGCCAAAUUCUGCUCAAUCAUGUUAAGCUUGUGGUCUAUUUUCUCUAAAUGAAUGCUCAAAGGUGGUGCGGAUGUAGAAUGAAUAGUUGGCGGGGCAGUAGUGUCGUCGUCAAGCUCGUCAUCAGAGGUAGCACCACUCCUAGCAUAAAGCUUUUUUGGAGGUUGAGUUGGUCAUGGUUCAGUAAACUGAAAUCUCCCCUCCUUGAAUUCGACCACACCUGUUCUUUCAAACACAAACAUAUCCAAAAAUUCCUUUUUGCAAGUAGGAUGCAAAUCAUUAUUGUCAGGAUCAAGCACACAUAGGUUUAUAGCUAACAGAGUAAUGUAUGGACCAAGAAAUAAAGUCCUAUACUGUUUAAGCACACUUUGAAAUUGAUCUGCUAACCAAAAACCUAAAUUAGGCCUCACAUCAUUUAACAUGCACCAGAUAAAAUAAAAUUCAGUUUUAGAGAAAACUCCUGAGUGAUCUUUCUUUCCUAAAAAAUUAUAUGCUAAGAAUCGAUGCACACAUUUCAAAACAGGAUCACGUAAGAAAUAACUCUUUGAUUUACUCGGGUCAUAGGCAUUGUGAUCAAAAGAUAGAUUACGCCAAAGACCAUAAGGCUCAAAAUUUUCGCUAAAGUCACAAGUUGUUCCUAAAUAUUCAUCACUAGUAGAAUAAUCAUCAUCAAUGAAUCCUAAAGCUAGGUUAAAAUCCGUGAUAGAGUGUGAAAAAUUUCAUCCCANNNNNNNNNNNNNNNNNNNNNNNNNNNNNNNNNNNNNNNNNNNNNNNNNNNNNNNNNNNNNNNNNNNNNNNNNNNNNNNNNNNNNNNNNNNNNNNNNNNNNNNNNNNNNNNNNNNNNNNNNNNNNNNNNNNNNNNNNNNNNNNNNNNNNNNNNNNNNNNNNNNNNNNNNNNNNNNNNNNNNNNNNNNNNNNNNNNNNNNNNNNNNNNNNNNNNNNNNNNNNNNNNNNNNNNNNNNNNNNNNNNNNNNNNNNNNNNNNNNNNNNNNNNNNNNNNNNNNNNNNNNNNNNNNNNNNNNNNNNNNNNNNNNNNNNNNNNNNNNNNNNNNNNNNNNNNNNNNNNNNNNNNNNNNNNNNNNNNNNNNNNNNNNNNNNNNNNNNNNNNNNNNNNNNNNNNNNNNNNNNNNNNNNNNNNNNNNNNNNNNNNNNNNNNNNNNNNNNNNNNNNNNNNNNNNNNNNNNNNNNNNNNNNNNNNNNNNNNNNNNNNNNNNNNNNNNNNNNNNNNNNNGCAGUGGGUAGUUCGCGCUGGUGGGGCUUGCGUUGCGCGUUGCUGGGGCUGCGUGGCGGGUGGGACUGAUGCAUUGGGGCUGGUUCUGCGUGGCUGCGGCUGCUGCUGCUGCGUGGGCUGGUCGGUGAAGCUGGAGAAGAAAACCAAUUUUGUGCAUUAGGGAUUUUGUUAAUAGUAUUUUUCAUUUUUUUUUUUUUUAGUGAUGAAUCACUUUGAGACACUAAAAAUUUCAAAAGUACUUUUCUAAUAAGCACGUGGAUACGCCUUAAAACUAUUUUACUUUAAAAAUUACAGAAGUACUUAUUAGUUAAGACGUGGGCACGCCUUAUCAAAAAUUUUCUUCUGACCAAAAUAAGCAAACAUAUAAUUAUUUUUUUUAAAAAAAUUUGAAUCAAAACUAAAAGAAGACAUAACAAAAACCAAAAUAAAUAAAUCAUUUGGGUUGCCUCCCAAAAAGCGCCUUUGUUUUAUGUCUUUGGCUUGACACAUUUAUACAUCAAUCUCUAUAAUUGGGACUCUCGAGAGCCACAUUCUCCACAAUAUCCAUCGAAAAACCUUCAUAAAAAGGUUUUAAGCGAUAACCAUUAACCUUAAAAACUUUGCCAGAGGUCGGACUCCGAAUCUCAACUGCACCAUGAGGAAAAACAUUAGUAACAAUAAAAGGUCCAACCCAGCAAGAACGUAAUUUACCCGGAAAAAGUUUAAGCUUAGAAUGAAAAAGAAGAACUUUUUGACCAAAAUUCAUGCACUAUAUGGUUAAUAACAUCCACAAAAAAUACCGAAUGUUCCUCAUUAGGAUAUUUCAUGGCAUCAUUCAUAUUGAAUUCUAUAACCUCUCCAUCAAACUCCAUAGUGAGAGUCCCUUUAUGUACAUCCAUUUUAGUCCUAGCAGUUUUAAGAAAAGGUCUUCCUAGCAAAAUUGGGACAGAAUUAGAGGAGUUAUCAUCUUCCAUAUCAAGUACAUAAAAAUCAGCAGGAAAAACCAACUCAUUAACUUGUACGAAGACAUCUUCUAAUACCCCAUCAGGAUAUGCAUUAGACCUAUCAACUAGUUGAAUUAUCACGCCAGUUUCUUUUAAUGGACCAACAUUCAAAGAUGAAUAAAUGGAACGAGGCAUGACAUUAAUAGAAGCUCCUAGAUCUAACAUAGCCUUUUCAACUCUAACACUACCAAUUUUACAAGGGAUAGUAAACAUACCUGGAUCCUUGCACUUAGGAGGUAGUUUCUUUUGGAGAACUGCUGAAACAUUCUCCCCCAUGUGAACUUUUUCAUCUCCUCUUAAUUUUCUCUUGGAGGUGCACGGUUCCUUAAGGACUUUAGCAUAUCGAUGUAUUUGUUUUAUAGCAUCUAAUAAAUGAAUAUUUACCUCAACCUUACGAAAUGUCUUAAGGAUGUUUUUCUCUUGUUUCUCCUUCUUGGAUUUUGUAAACCGUCUUGGAAAAUGAGGAGGUAUCACAAUAGGUAGGGGUUUCGCUCUGGUGGGUUGCACAUCUUGAGAUUUAGGCAUCAAUUCAUUCUUCUCAAGCUCAUCUUCUACAUGCUUUGUCACUUUCUUACUAGGCUCUUGUAACUCAUUCCCACUUCUAAGGAUGACAGCACUAACGUUUUGUUUUGGAUUCACCUCAGAUUGUGAAGACAAUCUCCCUAAUACUUGAGACUCCAAACGGCUCACUGUAGUCGCCAAUUGACUCAUUUGGUUCUCCAAAUUCUGAAUGCUUGCUGUAGUUGCAUGCUGAAAUUGUUGAGUGUUAGUCGCAAGUGAUUUAACAAUUUCUUCAAGAGAUAUACCUGACUCGGAGUUUGACUGUGGAGGUGCUGGUUGUCUUGGUGGAUACUGUUGUGGGAAUCCUGACGGCCUAACUCCAUAGCUGAAGUUGGGAUGAUCAUUCCAUCCCGGAUUGUAUGUUUGUGCAUAAGGAUCAUACCUCCUCUGAGGCAUGCCUGGAAAUCCUCCAACUGCAUUGGCUUGUUCAACGAGUUCUUCUUGAAGUGUAGGACACAUAUCAGUUGAAUGACCUAUAUUGUAACAAAUACCACAAGUCUUCACCUGUUGCACAUUACCUACAACAAACUUUUCCACAAGAGAAGUAAGUUUAUCUAAACAUUGUUCAACAGAAGAAAUAUUUACCUCAUUCACCUUCCUUGAAGUGGGAUCUUGCAUGUUGCCAAAUUAUUGUGCAUUAGCAGCCAUAUUUGAUAUCAACUCCCUUGCUUGAGUAGGGGUCUUAUUCACCAACACACCUCCACUAGCAGCAUCUAUCAUACCCCUAUCCAUUAAUGACAGUCCUUCGUAAAAAUAUUGAAUAAGAAGUUGAUCAGAAAUCUGAUGUUGAGGACAGCUGGCACACAAUUAUUUGAAUCGCUCCCAAUACUCAUACAAAAUCUCCCCAGAAAGUUGUCUGAUCCCACAAAUAUAUUUUCUGAUGUUGGCAGCUCUUGAAGCAGGAAAGUAUUUCUCAAGGAACUGCUUCUUCAAACCAUUCCACGUUGUAAUCGAUCCAGGAGGCAAGUAGUACAACCAGUCUUUGGCUAGUCCAUCUAAAGAGAACGGAAAAGCACGCAGCUUAAUCUGCUCUUCAGUCACGCCUUGAAAGCAAAGGCGACGAGGAUCGUUGCUUAGCUCGCUUCAUCUGCUGUCUCAGCUGGCGAGCUGUCUUCUCAAUUUCAGGAUCAAACGAAAGUGUACUUGUACGAGAAGAACGAACCAUACACCAAGUAAAACGUAAAAAGGAUUAAAUAAAUGACACCAAUCCCCGGCAACGGCGCCAAAAUUUGAUGGUUGUCGAAGCCAGCAAAAAUAAAUACCUACUCUAAAUAAAUUGUGUAUAGUGAUUGAGCAAUGUCGUGUCCACAGAGAUCGGUAAUUAUUUAAAUCCUUUUAAAUGAUAAAACGUAAAAUAGGGGAAUUGUUGACAAUAAUAAAAAUCAAAUUAAAAUAACAAGAAUGCAAAUUAAAGUUGUAAUUCAAAUUGGAGAAAGCUCUAGUUGAAGGAAUUAACUCAGGUUGAUUCGACUACUCAUCAUUGAUUCAAAUAUAAAUUAUUACUACUUAUGAAUAGACCGGUUAUAGCUACUGAGACCCUCUAAUAGCCAAUCUCUCCUUAACUAGUCGAUAAUCAAGGUACGACCAUUGGUUAUUUCCCUAAUCAAUAGACAACCCUAGAUACGAUAAUAGGAUUUAAUCAAUUGACAGCCUGAAAAACCAGAGAGACCCAAAUUCUAAUCAACAAACACAUACGAUGGUUCAUUUAAAUUAGAUUGUUUAUUCUCACAACACAACUCUCUGCUAUGUUAUUUGUCACAAACAUUAAAAUCUUCAUACGAUGAAUCCUUUAAUUGACAAUAGAUUAAGUUGAUAAUUAAAUAGUGGCCAAUUACCUAAUUAACAAACAUAAUCAUGAAAAUAAUUCAGAAAAUAAACAAAUACCCAAAAAGUAAUAAAACAAUUAAAGAAUAAGAAAGAUCUCACAGUAAUGAUGAAUCAAAGCUUCAUUAACCUUCAACCAGAAUAAUAGAUUUAGUUCUUCAUAGAGAGAAGAGAAAAAAUUAGAUCUAGGGUUUCUUUCUUUUUCUCCAAUCCCUCUUUUUCACAAUAGAUUCCUCUCUUAAAUAUUCUCUCUCUCUUCUCCUCUAGAAUUCUAUUUAAAAUAAAAUACUAAUAUCUGAAAUAUUAAAUUCGUAAUACCAAAAAUACAAAACACGUUAAACUAAAAACUGCAGGUCCGUAGUUGACAGCACGCGCCCACACCUUAUCAACAAAGUUCUUCUGACGCUCAUAAUUUCUCCAAGAAAACAAUCAUCCUUAAACAUCAUCUUAUAGCUUAAUUUUAGCAUCAAUCAAUAUAAUUGCACCUAUAAAAAUAAAACACAAGUAAAUCACUAUUAUUAAGUGCAAAACAUCGAUAUUAAGGGAAGUAAACAAUGCAAAACUAGUGCAUAAAUUGCACUCUAACAAGUUCCUUAUGAUAAGCAAGCUGAAGAGAGCUGAAGAAGGAGGCAAGAUCUCGAGGAAAUUCAGCGAUGGAUGAAGCGAGGGUUCUAACUCUCACUCUUUUAAAAAAAAUUAUGCAUAUUCUUUCAUGUGCUGUAGAUAGGCCCUUCAACCUCGGAAACCUCACCAUGGACUGGGAGCGAAGGAAGUGGGAUCUGAUGGUUGGCAUUGUAGGUGGCAAGCUGCAAAAGAAAGAUGACGUUUUCAAAGUUGAAGGGCCUUUCUAGAGCACUGGAAUCCAUUCAUACUUCAGCUUGAAAUCCCAAAACACAAGGCUUUUUGUGCAUAUUUGUUUAGAUUUUGCAGUAAGAUUGGCUUUUAUUUUUCCCUUUUAGACUUGAAUCAGUAUAACAUUUCAAUGUUACAGCACACUUUGGUGCAGCAUAUGUAGAUCUGUAUUGGUUGCAACUGAGGUUUUCUGCAAAGACUGUUAUGAAUUUUUUUUUUAAAUCAUUUAUUAGGAAAUUUUCCCAACAGCAACACCAGAAAAGGUGAAAACAGGUAUGCUUGAGGUUGUUAUAGCUGCGCUUGGCCUACCGAAAGGUUCAUUUAGUCCAAUUAUGCUAAGACUCCACUUUUAUGGACAUUAUCUUGUAAUUUCAUUUUUAUCACGUCCCAUUUGGAUCUCCGUGACCUACUUGGCCUGUAGCUAUUUGCUGUUGGUGUUGCUUUUGAAUUAGUGGCUGAUUUGGACACGCUUAACAAGUUAUUGUGUGGACUCUAGUUAUAUUUUUUUGUUAUGCUUGUCUGAGAAAAGAGAUGGAACAUGUCGUUCCAAUUUAUUGAAUAUUUAAAAUAACUUGAGAAUUUCAUAACUAAGAAAAUUCAAGGUUCCUUUUUGAAUUUUUUUUUUUUUGGGNNNNNNNNNNNNNNNNNNNNNNNNNNNNNNNNNNNNNNNNNNNNNNNNNNNNNNNNNNNNNNNNNNNNNNNNNNNNNNNNNNNNNNNNNNNNNNNNNNNNNNNNNNNNNNNNNNNNNNNNNNNNNNNNNNNNNNNNNNNNNNNNNNNNNNNNNNNNNNNNNNNNNNNNNNNNNNNNNNNNNNNNNNNNNNNNNNNNNNNNNNNNNNNNNNNNNNNNNNNNNGGGAAAUGGGGGCAAGGGGAUGUGUGGGGAUGCAGCUCUUCCGUCUAACACUCCAAAGUAUUUCUUGUAUCUUGGAUCCUCGCGGAAGGACUGGUAUUUGUGGCGAUUGGCUGUUGGGUUCAAGUUUUGAAUCAGCUGCCUUAAGUGGCCGGCUCAUGCCAAUCAUGUAAGCAAGAAUACGAUUUUCAUUUGCUUAUUUGGUUUCUUUUUUGUGCAUAGAAAUAUAUAUUUCAUGAUUGAUAAUUAACAUCAAAAUCAAAUAAUAAAAUCUGUAACAACCUGUUUACCCCUGUAUAUGGACAUCUAAAUAUAAAUUAGUAUAUUGGCUUCAGUUCUGUUUGAAAUAUCAGACAAUUUUCAAUCGUAAGCUUGAAGCAUGAUUAUUCAUAUAUAAAUACUGUAAUUGGUCUAUCUUGAUUGUAGAUUAUUUAGGAAGUCGUGGAGUUCAUUUUGAGGAGUUUGCUGUUGGUUUACAAACAAGUUUUCUGCCACUCGAAGGACAUGAUAUUGGGCAAUUUCUAGGUUUAGAGUCUAUGGAAAAAGACGAAGCUCAAGCAUAUCAACCUAUCAUUUGAAUCAUUAAGCAGGCCAUGAAAAUUUCUACAGUUGUUAAGGUAUGCUUCUAUCUACACACUGUUUAUGGAUUUAUGAUUUUUACUUUGGUUGCCCCAUAUAUUAAUUCUCUUGCUUUUAUAGCUUGGAGUAUUAGAUUGCAGUGAUUGAUGAGAGUGAAUGCUUGUUUAAUGAUAAUUGAAACAAUUUGCUAUCAACAGUGUAGCAUGUGUUAAUCGUUGAAUAUUGUUUUUGUGACAACGUUUUUGUGUAUCAUUAAUUGCAUGUAGCCAUUGUGAUGCUUAGUUUAUAUGAAAAUUAGGCUAGCCCAAUCUUUUUUGGAUUUUUUGUUAUGAUUAUCUCCACGUUUGUGAUUGAGGUGUUGUGACUUUUAAUUUAUUGAGGAAUGGAAUUAAAACAUUAACUGCUUAAUAAAAAUGGGUGUUUAUCAAAUAUCUUAGCUAAAAUGCUGUCAAAAUUAUACUGCCACCAAAAUAGGACUCAACUCGAGUUAUUCAAACUCUUGAAACUUGAAUUUUGUGUAUCUGAACUGGGUGCUCAGUUAGUCAAUCGCAUCCAUGUAAUGAUUUGCAUUUAUUUAUUUAUUUAUGUUACUAUGCUUUGCUGUACCUGGGGAAUCAUGGCUUGGGAGGAAGAAUCGGAACCAGAAUGAUAUGUCCUUAACCUCUGAUAUUUGGUCAUGCUGCGAAUGAUUCUCAGUUUCGUCCGUUGGUUGACUGGAAGGUGGAAUCAGUGUUGGCAUGCGCAUACGGGAUCAUCAAUAUUGACAGAUCACCAUUCCCGCUUGCGCUAACCGUUUGAUUGACAUACUUUUACCAUGGAGGGUUGAGAUUUCGCCACGCCACCAUGCGCGGAAUACACUCACUGCAUUGGGUGAUACACCCAACCAUUCUUGUCUUAUUAGGAAGCAAUCUUGUUCGUUCAUUGUAUUGAUCUGAUGUUCCACAUUUAGCCACGUUUCCCCUUUCACUCAGCGAACGUUGUUGACCACAUCUGAACCGUUGGAUCGUGCAUCAAGUUUUCUUCAACGCAUGCUCACCGUGAUUAUUACGGUCACAGGAUUUGAAAAUGGAAGUUUUGUCUUCGGAUUGAAUUGAAAAGGUCGCGUGAUUUGGCUGAAAUAAUAAAAUUUCUUCCCUUUUCCUUUUUUCUUUUUCAAUUUCUGGCUUUUGUAUGUAACUUUUGUAAAUUAAUUAACAAAAUAUGUGCUUUAUUUUCCACUAUCUGUGGUUAAUUUUAUCAAGGUAGGGUGAGGUGAAGCUCUUCAUAUAAAGAUAUGAUUUAGUUAAGUUUUAUUUUUUUUAAUUGGGGAAAAAAGAUGGUAAACUUUAAUAUAUUUAUUUGUAUUAAUAACACUAGAGGUCAUUUAGAAAAUGGUAAAUUUUGAAUUAUUUUCUGUAUAAAUUGAUUAUCUUCAAACUUUUUUUUAUAUUUGAAAAUUUUAAACUGUUUUUAUUUUAUUUUAUUUUAUUAUAAAAAAGGAGUAAAUUAAGAUUUUUAAAAGGUAAACAGAAUUAUAUUUAAAUAGUCCAGGAAUAAUUAGAAAUUAACUCAAAAAUAACAUUAAAAAUGCUCUGCCCUUAUUACCACUAUGUCUAUGCGUGUUUUUGUGUUUGUGUGUGUGUGUGUAUACAGAUCCAUUGUUACUCAUCUUCGACAGCCUAGGGUUGGUCAAGCUAGAUCUAGUCUCUCUGUGUUAUGGGUGCAGGCUGAAAACAGCGGGGACGGAGAAUGAAUUUUCCCUUUUUAACUUGAAUCAAUGUAACAUUUCAAUGUCACCGCAUGCUUUGGUGCAACAUUUGUAGGUACGUAUACGUUGCAAAUCAGGCUUUCCUGCAAGAUUGGUAUGAAUUCUUUUUUAUCAUUUAUUAGGAAAAUUUCCCUACUGCAACAGCAGAAAAGGUGAAAAUAGGUAUGCUUGAACUUGUUGUAGUUAGGGGUGGCAAAGCGAAUAAAUGAAUCGAAUCGUAAGCGAAUUGGGUUAAAAUUUUAUUGAUUGAGAUUCGAUUAGUUUAAUAAAUGAAUCGAAAUCUCAGAAUUCGAAUUCGCUUCGUUUAUUAAACAAAUAUUCGGUUCGAUUCGUUUAAUUCGUUUAAUAAAAUAAACAAAUAUAAUCGAAUUCAGAUUCGUUUACUAUUUGUUUAUCCUUACGAAUUCAUAAUGAAUCGAAUUGAAUCUGGAUUCGUUUACAAUUCAUCUGUAAACUAUAAUAUUAACCUUCAAAUUUUAAAAAAAUUUCAAAUAAAUUUAAGGACAAAAAAGUAAUUUAAUUAAACGAAUGGACCAUAUUCAAUACGUUUAUAACCCAUUUAUUAAACGUAAAUGAAUAAACGAAUCAAUAUCUUUAAACCCGAAUUUGAUUUGUUUAAGUAGCAAAUCGAUUGAACUCAUCCAUUUAUUAAACGGAUCAAUUUUUUCAAAUGUAAAUCUAUUUAAUUUGUAUAAAAUCAAAUCGAAUAAAUGAACCCUAAGUUAGAUUGCCACCGCGAGUCGGAGCUGCGCUUGGCUUUAGAAGUUGGCUUUAGAAGCCCCUUUUUAUACUCGAGAGUCCAAUUAUGCUAAGACUCCACUUUUAUGGGCAUUACCUUGCAAUUUCCUUAUUUUUUAAUCGUGUCCCAUUUGGAUCAUUGUGACCUACAUGGGCUGUACCUAUUUGUGGUUUGUGUUGCCUUUGAUUUCGUGGUUGAUUUGGACAAGCUUAAUAAGUAAGUACUGUAUGGACUCUAGUUUUAUUUUCUUGUUUUGCUCGUUUCUCAGACGAGAUGGAAUAUGUCAUUCCAAUUUAUUGAAUAUUUAAAAUAACUUAGAGAAUUUCAUAAUUAAGAAAAUUCAAGGUUUCUUUUUCAUGAUUUAUGUAUUUUUUUUUCUUUUUUUGGGGGGGAUGUGCAGAGAUGCAGCUCUUCCGUCUAACACUCCAAAGUAUUCCACGUAUCUUGGAUCCUGGCGGAAGGGCUGGUAUAUGUGGCGAUUGGCUGUUGGGUUCAAGUUUAGAGUCAGCUGCCUUAAGUGGCUGGCUUGCCGAUUAUGUAAGCAAGAAUAUGAUUUUCUUUUGCUUAUUUGGUUUUACUUUUGUGCAUAGAAAUAUAUAUUUCAUGAUCGAUAAUUAAUACCAAAUAAUAAAAUCUGUAACACAACAUUUAUCUAUACCCCUAUAUACGGACAUCUAAAUAUAAACUAGUAUAUUGGCUUCAAUUAUGUUUGAAAUAUCAGACAAGUUUCAAUCAUGAGCUUCAAGCAUGAUUAUUCAUAUAUAAAUACUGUAAUUGGUCUCUGUAGAUUGUAGAUUAUUUAGGAAGUCAUGGAGUUUGUUCUGAGGAGUUUGAUGUUGGUUUGCAAACAAUUUUUCUGCCACUCGAAGGACAUGAUAUUGGGCAAUUUCUAGGUUUAGAGUCUAUGGAAAAAGACGAAGCUCAAGCAUAUCAACCUACCAUUUGAAUCAGUAGCCUUUAAAGAUUAUUAUGAGCUUUAUUGCUUGAAGCCCCACUUCUUGCCGCUGUUAGCGAUAAGUUGAAAACAGUAAUGGUUCCUUUUUAUCCACGUUACACAUUACACUCAUUCAAGAAUCUAGAGAUUACUUAACCGUGUUGUAAUUCAAGAGUGGUGUCCAACUUGGCCUAGUGGCAGCUUCUUAAAGCAAGAGUUUGGCCCAGAGGAUUGUUGCUCUCCACCAGAUGCGUUUGGUCUUAAGCUGAAUUCGCUUUUGUUGCCAAGUUCCAAUGAAAAAAUGUAACUAAAAAAAAAAAAAAACCCGAUGAUUGAAUCUUUGUGGAAAAUGAUCUGGAUGCAAUGCUGCUGCGUAGUGUGGUUUAGUUAAUUAUCCACAACAAAAGAGUUAUAAAAAUAUGUUACGUGUCCCAUUACUUAUUGAAUCAUUUUUUGGCAUCCACACUUAUUAUAGAAUAACUCAUUUUUUUUUUAUAAUGGUUAUUCAAACAGUAAAAAUUGCCAAAAUUUUUGAGUAAAAUGGUCGUUGUUAUUGUUUUUUUCCUUUUAAAACGGUGCCUUUGCUAUAUGAGGGGAAUCAUGGGAACCAGAAUGAUUGGUACUGAUUCAAGGUCCCAUAAUGAUCACGGUUUUGAGGUUUAACCCCCCACAAGGCAGAUAAGAACCUAAAAUUAAUUACAUGGUCACGUGAUUGGAAUUGCAUGGGCUGCAUGGGUAGGCUUAGAAUGAAAUGGCAUGGUGGCCGACCGCUGUACCAUGACUGCAAUUCCUGCACAGUAACAAGCAAGCUGAUUUACAUAUAUAUGCCACGUUGACAAUUAGCUUAUUUAGACAAACAUCUUAUCAAGGCACAAACGAACUUGAACGUAAAGCAAUAAUAUCCCAGCAACUAAUUGUCUUAAAAUAAUUAUUGUAAUUCUUCAUAAUACACAAUCACAAUUUUGAAGUUUUGAAAGAAAUUAAGCGACGAAUGCACCGAAAGCUUUCCUCCCUAACCCUAAGUGAUUACUUACGUAACCGUGCAUGUUUGGCCCACCUUCAGUGAAUCUUUUUUGAUUUUGGCUACCUUAUCACGAAACACAAAUGGAAGGGGACUCUGACUUAAGUCUCAAUUGACGAAACAGUAGUGCUAACACAAACAAAUAUUGGGGACUCUGACACAAAUGUGAGGUGAGGAAAUAUUACAACAUUUAGACUAGGAAUGUAAACAAAUGAAUAAAUAAAUAUAUUACUGGAUUUAAGAAAAUGAAGCCGGUGGCGAGUACAAAGGAGCUCUUAUGUGUUGAUUCCCUAAUAUCGUGUGCACUUCCUCAUAUAUAAUAAAUUUUGAAUUUUUUGUUGUUGUUAUCUAUGUCAUAAUUGUUAUAACAUUAAUGUUUUUUCAAAUAAGGAUAAAAUUGAUAGAUUUAUGAUUUUAUUAUAACACACACAGUCAUAUAUACACCUAAAAUAUAUGUAGAACCACUACCACCUUAUAUAUAUAUAAAAAAAAAGUGUAUACAACAGGUUAUCAAGGCAUACCAUUAGCACUAAAUUAUGUAAAUCAAGUUUCUUUUCCUUCAUGCCAUGUCCUUUACGGUCGGCUGAUUCGGUUUUGGUGCUUGUUGCUGAUGAGCAUAUAAUAUAUACAUAUUUUACUCUUAAUUAUAUAAUUGCUAAUUAUUAUUAUUUGUUAUUUUAAUUGAUUAAAUUAUUUUGUUGAAUGAGGAAUUAAUUAGAGAUUAUGGAUUAAAAAAGUAUAAAAAAUUUUAAUUUAGAAAGAAAUAAAAAUUAAAUUAGAAGACAAAAUUACAGUAGAGAAUUAAUGAAAGUCAAGAAGAUCAAAAUUCAAAGUCAACUUCUUUAAUAACGGACGGUGGGCAUGCAUUUAGAAGACAAACAUUUGGUGAUGGCAAUUGCAUUUACAUGACAUAAUAUAUUAUGGAAAGCAAUUUAAAGGGACCUGUGACUUGGCUUUCAAAGGUGGACAUAAACUGAUGGAUUAUGGUAUUGACAAAUAAUGAUGACAUAAAUUAGGAAAAUUGACUUUAGAAUUGGAAAUAGAAUCCCGAUUGAAUUGGGCCAAUUAAUGUAUAUGGAAUCCUUUUCAUAAUUGGUGGCCAUGGUGCUUGCAAAAGAUGCAGCUGCCAUACUCAUUUCAAAAACUUUCCGAUCCAAUGAGUUCUACAGGAGGAUUUAUAAAUUAAGUGAUAUAUUUUUAUAUAUUUUUAAAAUAAAAACUUUAAUUGCGCACCACUUGAGUUCUUAUCCAAAAUUACCUUUCCCGGUAAAGCUAAAGCAUUUUGUGUUUUCUUACACGGCAAAACAUUGUUUGUUACAUAAACAGUUCACGGCAAGAAGAGCAGCCAUUUUUGACUUUUUUGAAGAGAAUAAUAUUGGAAUAAGCUUUCGAAUUUACCGAUUACGAAUUACGAUGGCUUUCUAAGCAAAUGGGGUCUGAGAUGGACCGAUGGUUAAGUUGAGGGGAAAAUUACAGAUAGAUUCCAUCUUCAAAUAUAAGUUAAAAAUAUUUAAAGUUUUAAACUUAAUUUUAAAUAGAUUGUGAUACUUUAUUCUUUUUAAAUUUAAAAACGUUAUAUUUAAUUUCUUAUACUAACAGUUUAAAUUAUUUUACGAUAAAAAAUUCAUAUUAUCUCUGAUCAAUUUAAGUGAUUUUACAAAUAGUAAACAUCCAUCAAAAUGAUUUGUGUGUGUGUGUGUGUGUAUGUGAUAUGAUAAUAUUAUCCUUUAUAAAUUAAGUGAAGGUAAUUCCAUUUGAUUCCAUCACAUCCUGGAUUAUCUGUCAAUUUUAUUUACAUAAAAAAAUAUACAUUCUCCCAUUGACAACAUAUAAAAUAAGCUUCACCAAGUCUUUAAAAACUGUAUUGCCUACGUUGUUUAUGUUUUUCAGUUUUUAAGCCAAGAAAAAUGAAAGAGAAUUAAAGAUUACAUAAUUAGGUAAUUAACUCAAAUUAUUAAAGACAAUAUUGUCAUAACACCUGCACAAAAUUUCAUUUUCAUGGAUGCCUACAGAUUGUAAAAUAACUUAAAUUGAUUAAGGUCAAUAAGAACAUUUUCAUUGUAAAAUAACUUAAAUUAUUAGUGUAUGGGGUUUAGUACAACAUUUUUAAAUUUAAAGGGUUAAGUGUCAUAACCUAUUGAAUCUGAGUAUAAAUAUUUCUAACUUAUAUUUGAGGAGGAAUAUGUAAUUCUUCCUUUAGUUAAGUUUCUAAUCAAUUUACAAAAUGACUUUCCAUGUAAGUUAUUAAUUGUUCAGAAUUAAUGAAACCGAAGGUGAGAUAAUAACAAUUUGUUCAUUUACAUUAAAAAAAAAAAAAAGGUAUCCACCUAAUUUAAAUUUACACAUCCUUUAUAUGGCUGUUGUGUAUACAAAAGAAUACAGACACACACACACAGAGAAAAAGAGGGAGGGAGGGAGACAAAAAGAGGAAUAAAAAAAAUAUAUAAGUUACGAAAAAUUAAAAAUAAUAACAAAAUUGUUUUAAGGACUAACGAUUAAAGAAACAGGGAAACAAAAUUUUUCUUUUCAUUCAAUAAUCAAUACUAUUGAAAAAAAAAACAUUUAGACUAGGAAUGUAAAUAAAUGAAUAAAAAACGCAUAACUGAAUUUAUGAAAUGGAGCUGAUGGAGUACUAAGGAGUUCUUUUAUAUAUAUAUAUGCGCGCACACACACACGCACCAGAAUAUAUAGCAAAAUAAAUGAUAUAUCAACUAUAUCGGCAAUUAAACAGAAACGAGUGAAGAAUGAUGAUACAAGUACGUAAAAGAGAAAUGAUGAAGGAUCAGCAACUCAGGCACAAACUGAUGUACACAAGACUAGACUAGCUCAGCCCAGUAAGCAAAGCCGGAUACUACAACAAAAUUGAGAUAUAUAGCCUCUAAAAUGUGCUACUAAAAGUAGAAGGUACCACUUUUAGGAGUGAUAUGUUAGCCCAUGUUAAUAAGAGUAUAUCUUUUGGUAGCAGUUAUGGAAUGUCAUAAAUUACAUUUUGUAGCAUGAAAUAAAAGCUAUAUAUGUAUUUUCAGUAGCUUUAGGUAGACGUUACUAUUUCAUAACUCGUAGCAUUUAUAAAAUGCUACUAAAUACCUUGCCAUAGCAUAUAUAAAUGCUAUCAAAUUCUAAGUCAUAGCAUAAUAAAAAUGCUACAAUAUUCUCUUAUGAUUUAUAGCAUUUUUUUAUUGCUUAAAAUUACAAAUUUUGGUAGCAUUUAAACAUUGUUAUUAUAUUUGGUAACAAUGUAUCAUCGUUGUCAUCAUAAUUUUAAAGAAAUUGCUAAUUAGCUUAGAUAUUUAUAUCAUUCAUCUUGAUAAUAAUACAAAACUUUCACAAAUACAAGCUUUAUAAUCCAAAUGAACAAAAAGUACCAUAUAUUAUAUCAAAUAUUGCAUCAAGGUCAUAAGUUGAAGAUAAAUAUCAACUCCAAAUAAAAAUUAUGCUUGACUAUGAACAAGGGCAAAACUAUGUUGUAACAUGGGUUUGGUACCCCUUCUUUUUGUCUUUUUCAAAGUCAAUUACAAUGGAGUCCUGUUAAAAGGUAAUUAAAAUUAUUUUCAAUAUAGAAAUAGAAUAAUAAAACAAAAUUAUUACUCUUAUUUUUUAAUUAAUUACAAAAAGAUAUUUUACAUUAAAAAAUAUAGACAAUCACUGGUGACCACUGCUUCUUUGCGUGCAAUAACAUUAUUAAUCGAAAGGGGUCAUGAAGGGUACCAUUAGACUUGAAAUUGGAUGAUCUACACAAUGAUAGCCUCAAAUGCUAGAAAAUGGUGAUAUGUAGAGUUGCACGCCCCUUCCAAAAUAACUGUGAUCAUAACUACACCACAAAAACACAAGUUACAUUGCACUGCCACCUUUUUUCAAUUUAGAGACCGUCAUUUGGUUGUUAAAGGCAAUGAACCUUGAAACCCCAUUUAAUCAUAGGGUCUUGCUACAGAUGUUUGCAUUGGAAGGCGUCUCUAUCGCUGGUACAUCCAUUUAUCCGACAACAUUGCCACCAUUACACAGAUCUGAGAAUUUUGAAUAUGUUGAUAGUAUUCGUAUUUCUAUUCACUCACUUCUAUUUCUUAGUGAUGGUGUCGUCAUUGUUGUCAUUGACGGUGCAAUAAAUUUUAGCAAUGUUAUUUUGAUUUUUCAUCUAAUUUAUAAAACUUAAAUAUUAAUUAUAAUAUUCAGCAAGUUAUGGAAUUGAUUGGGUGUACGAUUUUUAAUGUGAGAUUUUGAAAUAAAGAAACUGAAUUGAGGGAUUUUUACGAAGUGUGGUGUCAUUGGAUGGUUGAGAGAAAUAUUAAAAAUAAAAAGCGUUUGGGGUUUUGUAGUCAAAUAAGAGUUUUAGGUAACAUUUAAAAAGUGCAACAAAUUAAAUGUGAAAUACAAUUAAAAAAUUAAGAAUAUUAUUCAAUGACUAAUUGUAGUUUUUUUUUUAAUAAAAUGCUACAAUAGCAUGAUAUUUGGCAACAUUUAAAAAAAAAUCUACCAAAAUUGAUAUUUGUUGUAGUAUAUAACUAAAAAUUGAAACAUAACCAUAGCAGGCUAGGAGAAGCACAGGGACACAAUGAUGCAAGUGUUGGCAGGUGGGCCACAGGUGUCUGCAAAAGAUGGGGCUACUCAUCAUUACAAAACUUGGCAAAUUGAUGAAUGAUAGGCUUUUGGUUAAGGCCGUUAAGUUUCCUCAUCCGUUAUAAAACGUGGCAAAUUUUUAUUGUUUGUUAAAUAAUAUCUUUGAUUUGCUUUAUGUUAAAUCCUUUGUCGAUUCGACCAUACACGUAGGGUAUGCCUACCUUACGAUUUAACAUCUCUUUAUAUUAUUACGUUAAACGUAAGCUAACGAGACUCACUGCUAUAGACAGAGCUACAUCUUACGUUAAACGUUAUUCAUUUAUUAAUUUAAUUAAACGUUAAAUAUUAUUUAUCAUACAUAAUAAAUAAUUAAAUUAGUAACCCAACAUGUCUUAUCCAUUUACUCUUAAUGAUUAAAUUAUUGACUUUUAGCAUUAAUUUAGUUGGAGGACUUACCACACCGCAUGCAUAGGCUUUAGAUUUUUUAGCCUUGUGCCCAUUGGACAAAGCGCAGAGGAAAAGCAUGCCACUAGAAGCUAAAAUCAUGGAUGGAGACAACGAUAAUCAGAGGAAAAAAGAAGCGUUGAAAAUAAUACUGAAAUGGAGUUAUAUACAACAUGUUAUCAAGGCAUACCAUUAUUACUAAAUUAUGUAAAUCAAGUUUAUAUAUAUAGAGAGAGAGAGAGGUAAUGAUUAUUUUGAAGCUGCUACAAGAUAGAGCACAAAUUACAGUCACGCCCGUAAAAUAAUAAAUAAAAAAUAUAUAUUAUAAUUUUAAUCGUGUAGUUAUAAAGACAUGUUUUAUAUUCUUUUAUACGUGUAUAAUGACAUAUAUACAUACACACAAAUGACAUAUCUUAUAAAUCAUUAUAAAAAGUACAGGACACAACUACAUCUGCAAUCAAACAGUAACGAGGGAAGAAUGAUUGCAGAUGUAGAUUAUAUAUAUAAACGAGGAGCUGGCUUCGUUACAGAAACUGUAUGUAACAGCCAUGCAUUUUUUAUUCGUUGGAUCUAGAAACUGAAGUUGGAUGGUUGGUAUUAAAGGUCAGAAUAGAAAUUAAUCACGGGCGACCGUUUUUAACAUUUAGAAAGGUUCAUUUUCAUGAACACCCAAAUGUUUUGAUAAAUAUCAAUAUGCACCCAUUAGCUUUUUAAGUAAAACCACACACCCAACUCGUUAACUUUUCUCCUAUUGAAUUAAAAAACUAUCAUGCCUUAAUUGAAUUAAAUUGAUCAGGUAAAAUAUCUCUUAUAACUUAUCAAUUUUUACAGUAAUAUACAAAUAUUUAGUAAAAUCAAAUAUAUUUUUAUUUAGUAAUUAGAUUUUUUAUUUAGUAAUCAAAUUUAUUUUCUAUUCAGUAAUUAAAUUUUUUUUAUUUAGUGAAAUCAAAUUUUCAUUUUCAUUUAGUAGUCAGAUUAUUUUAACAAAAAAGUUCUAAAAUCAAAUUUGACUUGUUUACUAUUUUAAAAAAUGAACUUGUUUAUUAACCAACUAGAGUUUAUCUUUAGUCAACAUAUUUUUUUCUCUAAAAUAUCCUUUGAACAUAAAAAGAAGAAUGAAAAUAAAAAGAUGCUUUACCAAGAGUUGAUUAACAAUAAUCAGUAUAUUUGAGCAUGCAAUGAACCUAUAUUCAUAUGACAUAAUAUAUAAUUUUAUUCAUCAAUUACAGUACUAAUUUUCUAAAUUUUUUAAAAAUAAAUGGUUAAAAAAAAUUUAUUUUUAUAAAAAUAAAUUAAAAAAUAAAUUUUUUUUUACAUGGACCUAAUAUUUAAUUAAGGGCAAUAAUGUCUUUGUACUAGUUAGAAAUGGCCAGUAAUUGAACUUAAACGCGUAGGACAACAAUUUGACUAUUUUAGGGUGGGGUUGAUGGCUUACAUCAAACUUAGGGUGUGCUAAUGAUUAAUAAUAAUAAUGGGGUAAAUAUGAAAUUAAUCCUUACCCAAGCAUUAGAACUUCGUUGGUUUUCUUUUAGCCGGAUAAUUUCCGGUCAAUUUGUCACGCCUCCCUACACAUGGCAGCAUCUAAUUUGUUCGCUUGUCAUUUCAGUUUCUGUUACAUACAGUUUCUGUAACGUAGCCAGCUCCUAUAAACGAACUCCUCAGUUUGUUUGAUUUAUAUAAAAGAAUUAAACCUUUUUCGAAUGCCUAAAAGAGAAAUCACGAAAGAUAGCUUUUUUCAGUGUCAAUAUAAAAUAAUUACGCUUUUACAAAUGCCUAAAAGAAAAAUCACGAAAGAUCAGCAUUUUUCAGUGUCUGUUUGUCCCGCUCGCACUGGCGCGCGUGUGUUACAGUAUUCAACAAAUUUCAUAGAAAUAUUAAAGAAAAAUCAUGAAUUAUCAGCUUUUCUCAGGGGCUGUUGUUACACCAUUCCCGCUAGCAGUGGUGUGUAUUUACGCUCUCCAAAUAUUAACCGUCCGAUUAACAUACUUUGACUAUGGAGGGGUAAGAUUUUGCACGCCACUAUUCGCAGAAUGCACCUCACUACACUGGGUCAUACACACCCAACCAUCCUUGUCUUGAUCCGAUGCUCCAAGUUUUGCCACGUUUUUCCUUUACAUGACCACAUCUGAACCGUUGGAUCGUACAUGAACUAUUCCCGGACGCGCAUCAACUAUUCCUGGACGCGCAUUAGCUACUCCUGGACCAACUUUCCACUUCAGACACACACAAUUUCCCUUUCACUCCCAUGAGUGUCGUACGCAAUAUUUACUUGCCCACGACUCCCUCCCAAAAUCCAAGAAACCCUAGCAUUCAGCUCAGGCCUCAAAAUGAGAAAUAACCCAUAUCAGCUGCACUCUGUGUUCUGGGAUGAGGAUGCAAACCUCGUUCGCUUCAAGUACCCUCUUCCAAUAGGGACGAACCAAGAGGAUGUGACGAUUGAGGUUGACGAAGAUGGGAAUUUGCUUACAAUGAAAAGCAAGGUGGUAAGUUCACAUAAUGAUCCUCUCUCUUCAGCUUUUAACUCGAUGGUCAUAUCCGGAUCUUCUCUCUUAAGCUUCCUGAGGAAAAACGAAGGAGACCCCGCCACCCCGAUUAUCUCGAUGAAAUUCAAGUUGCCAGCGGGUCUUAACCUGAAUGGCUUCAAGACUGCAAUGGAUGAUGCCGGCGUUCUAACUGUUACCUUCACUAAACUCAAGCCAGAGAAGAAAAAGCUGGUGUCAGUAGCAAAGAAGAUGCUGGGAUGUUUGGCUCAUGCUGUGCCUGCUGCUUGUUUUCUGAUAUGUGAGAAGAUAUGUGAUGCGAUUUGUUCAGGAGACUAAUAAUAAGCUGGUCUCAAAUAGGUAUUUGCUUCGUGUUCAUGUAUGUUGCUUCUGUCGUUUAUCUGCUAGUGUCUGACAUAAAGUCUGGAGUCUGUGAGUCUAGACCAUGUGUUCUCUAAUUACUGUUGCGGUAUCUAAAUGUGGAGUGAAAAAUAAAUGCUUUUUUUAAAUGUUUGUUUUGCUUUUUUUUUUUUUUUUUUUUUUUUUAUUUUUUUUUUUUUUUUUUUUUUUUUUUUUUUUUAACGUAUGCAAUAAGAUAUCCCUACUAUAGAAUCUGCAAGAUAGCAAGAUCUCUCUUUUUUUCUUUUUCUUUUUUUAAAUUGUUAGCGUUGGAAAUUUUCUUUAAGUGAAAUAGAAGAUCUUGUCUAAUAAAAAUGAUGAUGGUUGUAUCUCCUUUUUUUUUCAGAGAAAUAGAAGAACUUUAUCUAAUAAAAAAUGAUAAUUAUUGAGUGAAAAAUAAAUGCUUUUUUUAAUAGUGUUGAAUGAAAAAGAAAUGUUUGUUUUCCUGUUUCCGGCCGCCUCCCACAUCACCCCUCACCGCCGAUCACUACCCAACCAGCCGGAAGCCCCUUUGCUAACCGUUACCGCCCCAAAACGUAAAUCCAAGUUCACGGCUUCCCCAUUAAAAUCUAGCCGCCAUCUCCUCCACCACUGUUGGUGGUGUUUUACAGCCGCUUGAACCGUCCUCUGUCACCUCACAGCCACUGUCCCACAUGGUUCACCAAACCCCGUCGACCACGCAUCUCCCUUCAACGCGUGUCGGUCCAAAGCGACACAAUAAACCCUAGUUCGUUGCCAUUUUCCCGUGGCGCCACCAGCCUUCCUGCCAUUGCUGAACCUGAUGUGCUGCCUGCGGUUCACUCCACAUCAUCCCAACAGCCGCCGCUUAGCCUCCCACUGCUGCUUUUGGCCCUCUGACUCCGAAAGCCUCCUACAAUCCAAAUCCGACUCUUCACCAAACCCUAGCCCGCUUUCUCUUGGCCCAACACAGACCCUAGCGGCUGCCCUCUUUCUUUGGCCGCUCACUCCUUCACCGGUGAUGGUGGCUGCCCUCCUUUGUUUCCUUCACAGCCUCCGCACAGCCAACAAACAUCCACCUCCCAACUUGGCGGCCAUGAUUCACGCUUCCUGCCUUCAACUAGACUGCAACAGCGGAGAAGGUGAUAACUGGUAUAAGAAUAUGAAUCUCUUUUGCUUAUUUGGUUUUAUUUUGCACAUAAAAGUUUAUAUUUUAUGAUUGAUAAUUUAUAUCAAAUUAAAAAAAAAAAAAAUCUGUGACACAACCUUUAUAUCCCUAUAUAUGGAUAUGUAAAUAUGAAUCUGUGACACAACCUUUAUAUCCCUAUAAAAAAAAAAAAAUCUGUGACACAACCUUUAUAUCCCUAUAUAUGGAUAUGUAAAUAUGAAUUAGGAAAUUUUGUUCUUUUCAGUUUGAAAUAUCAGACAAAUUUCAAUCAUAAGCUUCAAGCUUUAUUAUCCAUAUAUAAUUAAUGUAAUUGGUCUAUGCAGAUUAAUUGCAGAUAUUUACUUAUUUAGGAAGUAAUGGAGUUUAUCCUGAGGAGUUUGCUUUUUGAAUUACUCUUAUUUAUUAAUUCUCUUGCUUUUAUAGCAAGAAUUAUUAGAUUGGAGUCAUUGAUGAGAGUAUAUGCUUAAUGCGCCCUAAGUUCCUGCAUAUUCCGCCACCAAAAAUAGGACUCGGCUAGAGUUAUCCAGGCUUGUGAAACUUGAAUUUUGUGUUUCAAAGUUUAGUGCUGAGUUAGCCAACCACGCCCACGUAAGUAUUAUUCAUUACUACUAUUAUCAUUAUUGCAUGUAAAUUUUGCACCACCGUAUUAUGACUACAAUUCCUGCAAUGUAAUUAGCUUGUUCAUACAUGCCGCAUAAAUAUUGAAAUGGAGUUAGGUGUAAGCAAGCAUCUUAUCAAGGCACAAAUGAACUUAAAUUCAAAUAUGGCAUUAACAUUGUGACAUGGUGUAUGGAUACAAGCUUACCCUUCGUUCUAGAUCUCUUUUGUUAAUUUUUUUUUUCCAUUGUAACGAAAAUGAUAUUUCCGAUUUUUUUACUUGACUACGAACGUAAUUAUAGUUGCUAUGGCCUUGUAGGCACGGUUGGCAGAUUUGGUAGUUUUUAAGCCAACAAAAAAAAAAUCAAAAUUACAUAAAUUAGAUAACUCAAAUUAUUAACGGCAAUAUUGUCAUAACACCUGCAUAAUAUUUCAUUUUCAUGGAUGUCUAAGGUUUGUAAAAUAACUUACAUUGAUGAGGGUCAAUAAGAACUUUUUCUUGUAAAAUAACUUAAAAAACUUAAACUAUGAGUGUAUCGGAUAGGAAAAUUCUAUGAUCCCGUAAUGAUAAUUACGGCAUCAAUACAGUGAUAAACAUAAACAUUGUAAAUUACACACAAAACUUGUAAAUGUAAAGUAAAACCAGUAAAUUCAUACAAGAUUAUUAAUUAUUGAAAAAAUUAACAUCGUUUCUAUAGAGUUUUAGUGAAAACUAUUUUAUUCAUUUACAAAAAAUAUUUUCUUUAAUAAAAAAAACUCAUUAAUUAAACAAAAAUUAUACUGAAAAAAGUGGAAUAUGUUUUAUUGAAUUUGUUUAACCAUUAAUUCUAUAUUUAUUCUAGGACAUUUGUAUACUUUUUUCCUCCCAUUUUCUAUAAUAAUAUCUAUUUAUUACAUAAGUGAAUCAAGCACAAUUAUUUAUCAUGAUAUGGAUCAAGCAAAAACAAACAAAAAAAAUUCUUAUAAUACUAGACAUAUGUACAAUAUAUCAAUGAAAUUAUAUAUAAUUUUGAGCCUUAUACAUACAGGAUUGUUCUUGAGGAAGCGUAGAAAGAUACAAAAUAACCUCAUUUUACAACAACUAUGAAAGAUAUUGAAAUAAUUUUUUUUUUAAAAUCCGAUUUUGAGAAUAAAUUUCAUCCUUAAUAAAAUAUCACAUGUAUUACAUAAAUGCAAAACUAGCAUUAUUCAAUUUAAAUUAAAAAAUAUAAGGUAAUAAACAUUGUAAUGAGUUUUUAUUUUACAAUUGUGAAAUGUUUUUGUAAUAACUCUUAUAUCAAUUUAUUUAUUUUACCUUUUAUUCAUAAGUUUUAGACGUAAUCUAUAAAAUUUAUGUUUUAUUUUGCACUUAAUGUUGAUUUACUUGUUUUAUGUUAUAUUUGUAAAUUUUCGUUUAAUUUAUCAAUAAUACAUUAAAUUACCAGCUUUAUAGUAAUUUACUUGUUUUACCUUCUUUUUACAAGUCUUUUGUUUUAUUUCUAAAAUUUAUAUUUUAUUUCUUAGUUAGUGUUGAUUUACUAGUUUUAUGUUCUAUUUACAAGUUUUUGUUUUGUUUAGCAUUAAUACAUUAAUUUACUAGUUUUAUAUUAAUUUAUUUGUUUUACCUUCCAUUUACAGGUUUUAUGUUCCAUUUUCAAAAUUUAUGUUUUAUUUUGCGCUUAAUGUUGAUUUACUAGUUUUAUGUUAUAUUUAUGACUUUUUGUUUUAUUUACUAGUAGUUCAUCAAUUUAUCAGUUUUGUAGUAAUUUACUUAUUUUACCUUUCCUUUACAAGUCUUUUGUGUCAUUUUCAAAAUUUAUGUUUUAUUUUACAGUAAAUGUUUGAUUUACUAGUUUUAAGUUAUAUUUGCAAGUUUUUGUUUUGUUUUCUAGUAGUACAUCAAUUUACUAGUUUUAUAUUAAUUUACUUAUUUUAUCUUUUAUUUACAAAGUUAUAUUUAAUUUUUAAAAAUUAUGUUUUAUUUUACACUUAAUGUUGAUUUAUGCAUUUUAUGUUAUAUUUGCAAGUUUUUGUUUUAUUUACUAAUAAUACAUGAAUUUAUCGGUUUUGCAUUAAUUUACUCAGUUUAUCUUUCAUUUACAAGUCUUAUGUUUAAUUUCUAAAAUUUAUGAUUUAUUUUACAGUUAAUGUUAAUUUACAAGUUUUAUGUUUUGUUUACAUAAUUUAUAUUCAAUUACGGUAUUGAUACCGUAACUUUAUUCACGGCAUCAUAGAAUGACCCAAAGUAUAAGGAAAAUAUUUUUAAAUUUAAAGGGUUUAUAACCCAUAUUAAUUGGGAUUCAAAUUGAGACUUAGAUGAUGGGAUACCUCAUAUUGCUCAUUUAUACUUACACAUCCUUUAUAUGGCUAUUGCGUAUACAAAAUAAUGCAAAGAGAGAGAGAGAGAGAGAGAGAGAGAGAGAGAGAGAGAGAGAGAGAGAGAGAGAGAGAAGGAAUACAAAUAAUAUCUAAGUUACAAAAAGUCAAAAAUAAUAAUAAAACUAUGGUAAUAUAUCCACGAUGAAGAGCCCAAAAAAAAAAGAUAAGAUAAUUAAAGCAUUAAAAUAUGUUCUUAACAAAGUGGGGAAAAUACUAUGUGAAAGGGAAAAAAAAACAUAUGUAUAUGUUACACGAAAGACAAAAAACUAUAAUUUGGUGUAAUUUAUUUAUUAUUAACUUAUAAAUUCAUUGAAACUCAAAAUCAAGAUUUGAGAUCACCGAAAGACUCUUUAAAUGAGAUUUUAUAUCUCAUUUGAAGAGUCACAUAAUAAAUGAGAUUCUUCAAAUAAGAUUGUCAUUCUCUCUCUUCAAUAUUAAAGAGAAAGAAGCACUAUCUAAUUUGAAGAAUGUUAAUUCAAAGUGUUUUAGAGCCUCUAAUUUAGUAUUAAAUUAGUUUUUAUCUCAUUAUUGUUGAAGAGAGAGAAGUGCUAUAAUUGCCACUAUUUUAGUAGAGUAAAAAGUUUGAUUAAAACAAAAUAAAUUUAUUUUGAUUUAAAAAAAUUUGUUGUAGAUGUCAUAUUUUUUCACUCUUCUAUUUGUCAAAUAGGUAAAUAAAUAAAUAUUUGAAGAGUAAAUUAAAAAUUUAUUUUGGUGAUGCUUUAAGAAGACGACUCUUUAGAUGGAAUUAAUUAGUCCUCGGCUUAAAAAAAAAAAAAAAAGACUAAAGUUUAUGCUUGUCCAAAAAUACAAAAUUGUCGAUCUAGUAACCUUCAAUAUUUUUGGACGGUUUGAAUUGAACAUAAGCUUCCAGAGAUUUCUUCCCAACAAGUGGAUAUGUGUGCUCGCGCAGUCGCACUACUUAAUAUGAGUAUGACCCCCCACCUACCGGCUGCUAGUUUUCUCCAUGCCACAUCAUAUUACACGCAUUGAGUUUGCAAUUUUGAGGUUUAAUUUAGCCGAAAAAAUGGUAGCUUGAUAUGAUUUGCGCCUAAUUCCUUGUCUAAAUUAUUUUAAUUACCUAAUUAAUAGUCGCUUGAUAUGAUUCAAGUGGGAAUAUAGGCACUCUUUCGAUGAUGUGACUAAGAUGACAUAGCCCGGGCAACGUCAUUCGGAUUUGCAUAUGGUUAUGGUGGGGCAAAGCCUUUUUGACAAUCUGCGUCCAGAAAAGAAACUAGAUGCCGAAAGAAAUAAUACAUGUGGUACCCCAUUAAUAAUUAAAAUAAUCCAUGUUCGUUGAAAACGUCAGGUCACACGUCACAACUUUUUGUUUUCAGAUCGGUUGGCAAAAUCCGGAUGUAGGCGCAUUCGGAUCCGUAUUUAUAUUUUUGUACUCGUAUAUGCAUUUGGAUUUGUAAAAUAAGAUGUAAAUCCGGAUAUAGGUAAUAUUCGCAACAGAUGCGAGUGGAUAUUUUGAAUAUCCGGAUUCAUAAAAAUUAAAAUUUAAUAAUUUAAUAUAUAAUUUAAAAAUUCAAUAAUUUACUUAAUAAUAUCAAAUCAAAUCUAAUCAUAAUUCCACAAUUAAUAACUCAAAGUGAAUAACAUACAAUAAUCUUAUAAAUCUACAAAUAAAAGUUAAUUUUUAAUUUAAUUUUCAUUUUAAAAUAAAAUUCAAUAAUUUACCUAAUAAUAUCAAAUAAAAUUCAAUCAUAAUCCAACAAUUAAUAAUUCAACAUGAAUAAUAUAAUAACAUCAUAAAUCCACAAAUAAAAUUUAUUUUUUAUUUUUCAUUUAAUUUUAAUAUAUAUUUUUAAUUUAAUUUUUAAUUUAAAAUAAAAUUUAUCCCGAUCCAAAUCCGUAUGGUUCCCAAAUUUUCAUAUUCGGAUCUGCAUUUUUUAAUAUACGGAUUUGGAUUUUUCCGGAUCUGGAUCUUCCGGAUCCUUACAAAUCUUAGCUGGAUCCAGAUUUAACUGUCAUCCCCAUAUCAUAUUUUGGCUAGGUCAUAUUUUGGCGAUUGCGGUUCGAUGUUCUUGCUUAACUUUUUAAGGAUUUUAUUAGACCUAUCUACAUUAGUUAUUAAUGGCUAAAUUUGUUAUCCUUGUAUUUUUUUUUUAUUUUACGCUUUUCCAAAAAUGCAUCAUAUUGACAUAAGAUCUUAAUUCUAGAACAUCCCGCUUGUUUGCUUUUAGCCUCAUCGUGCAUAAUUGAAACACACUUCACUUCCAUUACUUUUUAUUUUUUUUGGGCUUACUUUUACAAUAUUACUCUUUUAUAAUAAUUUUUUUAUUUGGACAUUAAUAAAAAAAUAAUAAUUAAAUUACCAAUUUAACCCUAGAAAAUAAAAAAAAAUUACAUUAAUUUUUUUGCAAGCACCAUUUGCACAUUUGGUAGUUUGCAUACAAUUUUUGACAAUUAAAAAUUAAUACAAUUUUUUUAUUUUUUAGGGUUAAAUUGGUAAUUUAAUUAUUUUCUUUGUAUUAAUGUCCAAACAAAAAAAUUAUUAUAAAAGGGUAAUAUUGUAAAAGUAAGCCAAAAGAAAUAAAAAGUAACGGUAGGGGUAUCAAUAUUUUAACGGCAUGGAUGUUUUGAGGUAUUUUUAAAAAUAUAGGGAUUAAAUGGAUACUAAUUUUAAAAUACAGGGAUUAAAUGAGCUUUUACCCUAUUUUUUUGGUUGAUUAAAAUGCCUAUAACAAAGAUUAAUUCAGAAAAUUUAAUUGAUUUAUCCUACAAACUGAGACUGUGCAUGGAGUUUGAUUAAGAAGAAGUAGCAUGUGAAUUCUAUAAUAAGCAUACUUAUGAGAUUAAGGAUAAAAAUAUCACAAGCACAUGGAAUUAGGCAUAUUCAGAUCCUAUUCAAGUUCCCGUCGGACCCGUUACAAGAGCUCGAGCAAAGAAAUUCAAAGAAGCGCUUAAUGGAUUGAUUCAAGCAACUUGGGCUCAAUCAAAUUCGUGGAGACCCAUUGAAGGAAUCGCACAUGAUAAAUGCAUGAUUCAGGCUCUUGAAGUUUCCAAAUAGUCACUUCCAUGAAAUAGGGAAUUGGCUUAAACAUUAUGGUGGGAAAAUAUAUUAUUUUCCUUUUUCAGAUACUUUCCCAUUUAUUGAGGAGGCUAUUAGGGAAUCAAAUCAGUUAUUUCUAUUUUAAUCGCUCAAUUUCCAUUUAAUUGAUGUAAGGCAUUUAAGACAAUUAGGAUCCUGAUUUAGUUUAAAUUCUUUCCUAUUUACUUAGAUUAAGAUUCUAAUUUGAUUUAGAUUCUUUCCUAUUAGGGAAGAUUUGGAUUUAGAUUUGAUUUUUGGGUUAUGAUUUAUUUCCAAAAAUUCUUGUAACCAACCCUAUAUAAAGUACUCAUAUUCAAUAAACAGAGAAGAAGUUUUUGAUGCAAUUGGUGAGAGAGUUAAUUCUCUUUAGUUCUUUACGAACUCUUUGAACUUAUCCGAUUUCCGUGGCGUUCAAAUUCUUGACUUAUCAAUCAGACCAUCCAUAACUGAUUGUGGCGUCUUCACAUACCAAGGUUCGUGCUUUCAAUAAGCAUUGGGUCGAGAUUCCAUUCCAUUUCUGGUUUAGAUUCGAUCUUGAGAACUAAAUUGAUUAGGGUCGUGUCAGUUCUUGACGGGGUUCGUAUCACAUACCUUAAGUAUGGGCUUUAGUAUUAGAAAAGAUACCCAUGCUAAUAAUAAGUGUAAUAGUGAAAUUACAUCCAAAGUUUGUGUUUGUUGCAAACAAGGUUAUCGAUAGAAAGCCAAACAGAUCUUCCAAAAGUAAAGUAUAGAGCAAAUACAAGAGCCAUGUAUCAUGCUGGAUUAUUUAUCAAGCAAAAAUGAAGAAGAAUAAUUGGUUCGUUAAUUAUUUUAUUGAGUCUCAUAACCAUUCGCUUCUAAUGCAAGAGUGUGCCCACAUGCUACCUUCUCAAAGACAAAUAAUUGUUUCGCUAGCAAUUGAAGUAGACUUGGCAGAAGAAUCCAGGAUUUCACUUAAAUCUGCAUAUAGUUAAUGGGCAGACAAGUGGGAGGGCGAGAACCUCUUGGAUACACAAAAUUAGAUCAAAAUAACUAUUUUAGAACAAAGAAAUAGAAAGAUUUAGCUUACGGAGAAGCAGGGUAUUUAUUGAAAUAUUUUUCUGAUGAAACUUUAAAAAAUCCAUCAUUUUUAUACUCUAUGCAACUAGACAAUGAGGAACGGGUCACAAAUAUAUUUUGGGCAGAUUCUAAAAGUAUUAUUGAUUAUGGCCAAUUUGGAGGUGUUUUAAGUUUUAAUACAACUUACAAAGUAAAUAAAGAAAAUCGACCAUUUGCAACUUUUGUUAGAUUUAAUCAUCAUCGAGUGACAGUUUUAUUUGGGGCAGCUUUGAUGUAUGACAAGACUAAUAAUUUAUUUAUAUGGUUGUUCAAUUUGAAGGCAAUAUCUGCGAAAUCACCAUAAAUGAUCUUCACAUACUAGGAUGCUGCAAUGACUUAAGCUAUUUCUCAUGUAAUGCCUAAUACUACAUGGCAUAUGAUGCAAAAUGUCUUAAAGCGUGUAAAUAAUGUUUUUAAAGGUCCUAAAGGGAUAAAAAGUGAAUUAUCUACUUUCAUGGAGUCCAUUGAAGAGAAAGUUUAGUUUUCGAGUGCUUGGAAAGCAAUGCUUAAGGAAUAUGAUGUGUAUGAUAAUAAUUUGUUGAAAAUUGUAUUUGAGUUAAAGGGAGAAAUGUGCUUAUGCAUAUAAGGCAAGCAUGGUUAGCUAGAAUCAAUAGUAACCAACUUAGUGAGAGUUUUAAUAUUAUAACAUAAAAGAUUACCUCAAGUGAGACCUCAAUGUAGCAUAAUUUCUUAUGCAUUUCGAGAGGGUAAUUAAUGAUAAAAAGUACAAGAAGUUGGAAGCAGAGUACGAUUUAUGCUAUAGGCUAGUUUUAUUUUUAAAGAUUAACUGAAGAAAAUUAUUAUGAGUAAUGCAUUUGUUGUUGCUGUGUGGUAUUCAAGAUAAGUUUCAGCACUUAUUUCACUUUAUGCUUUUUAUAUUUUAAUUGAUGAGUUAAUUGAUUUAAAGUUUUGUUUGCUUGAGUUCAUAUAUUAUAUAGAUUGACGGAUGCAAAAUUUUAUGUAGUUUUUUAAACUUCAUUAGCCAAGACAUUUAUUUCAGAGUGGAGGACAUUCUUACAUUUGAUGCAUCCAUGAAAUUUCACAUUUUAUUGUUUUCAACGAGCACAACUCAGCUCAAUUGAAAGCUAUCUCAGAAACAGAACAAACUUUAUACAGAAAUUGAACUUCAGACGCUAAUAAACAUCUAAAAUAGUUUUGUUACUAGAUUAUAAUCGAAGACAAUAAAAAAUAUUGCAUUUUCCCUUCAUCAUAAUAAUAAUAAUAUGUAUUACGUAAAAUAAGAAUGACAUGAUAAGCGUGGCAUUUUCCCUUCAUUAUAAGAAGGGAAAUUAUCAGCUAUAUACUCUUAAAUGAUACCAGUAUCAAACGUGCUACAACACUUUUCAAGUGUAUCACUCGUAUACUCUAAGUUGACAAAACAUUUUUGCCGAGUGCCGUCCAUCAAUCCGUUAACUGCCAUUUGCAAGCGCUGACAUCAUAAGGGUAAUCUAGUCUUUUUAAAAAAACGACAUGUCAUCCCAUUUACCUAGUAAAAACGACAUGUCAUAUGAUAUAUUUUGAUACAAAUGACAUGUCAUCACAUUUCUCGGAUAAUUGUUAAUAAUUACUUUAAAAAAAGCUACUUUACAACCGAAUCUACUCCUCCAAAAUUCAACCUAAAUUAUUGAAGAUAUACUCCUCUAAGCUCAAACUUGAAUUUUUUAUGGUAUAAGAUGAAUUUUUUUUAUGGAUAAUUGUUAAUAAUAUGUACCAUUAAUAAUUUAUAUUUUUUUUAAUAAAAAAAUGUAUUGUUAAUAACAAAAUAAAAAAAAUUAUGUAUUAAAAAUUUAUAUUAAUUUUUAAGGUAAAUUUAUUUUUUUACUUAAUUUUGAGUUUAAAGGGUAAAAUAGUCAUUUUGCUAAAAUUCUGUUAAGUUCUUAACGGUAGUAAACGGAAAGAUAGACAUCAGAAUUCUUUUAUCAACUUAGUAUAUACGAGUUAUAUAAAUGAAAAAUAUUAUAGUACGUUUGAUACGAAUGUUAUUUAAGGAUAUAUGGCUGAUAAUUUUCCUUAUAAGAAUGGCAUGUUUUCUAUAAAAUCUUUUCUUUUUCCUUUUUUUUCUGCCCUUCUUCUAUUUUAGCUUCCACGUAUUGGGAAUUAGUUGUUAUUGAUUUGGUGAAAAUGGAAUUUGCACUAUUUGGAUCCUAAGAGGGGGCAAUCAGGAUCCUGAUUCAUUGUUCAGAUUUCUUCAAAAAGAAUAUUUCGGUUAAAGAGUGCAGAGUAGGGCACAAAUGAUUAAAGCAUUUUGCAGAUUUCUUUUUUUUUUUUUUUGGAUCCCACAUCGACUAGGUGGCCAAUUCACUCCGUUUUUUCUUCACUUCCAAAAUUCAUUGGCGUUAAAGGGAUGCGCUCUAUUGCUGACCUUUUAUUGGCCCAGGUAACAAAUCUUUUUUCCUUUUUUUUUCCCCUUUUAUGUUCUUUUGUUGUUGAUUCUAUCACGCUUCUUUGAUUAAAACAUGGGGAAGUUGUCUAAUUAAGUCACAAUGGUAAGAAUCUGCAGUAUUGUUUUGAAGUUUGCUAGUGUUGAAACUUGGCUCCCAAAAUCAUUAUAGUUUUGGGUUUGGACUAGAGAAGGAAGAUAAGAGUAUAUCAAACUAAAACCACAAUUACUUGAUCACAUUAUAUCAGUUUGCUUAGGCUAUAUGGGCUGACUUAAUGAAAUAGUGACGAUAAUGAUCGUAACUGAGGAAAAGAAGAACAAGCAUGAACAUUUUGCACCACUGUAUUAUGAAUAUAAUUCCUUCAAAGUAAAAGGCUCUAUAUGGAGUAUUAAUAUUGAGUUGGAGUUAGUUAUAUACAACGUGUUACUUGGUAUUCCAUUAUUAUUAAAUUAUGCAAAUCUGUUCCUUUGUCCUUCAUGUCAUGGCUAAAUACUUUUUCAUGCUUGUUGCAGACCUCUGUGGUUAGUGUAGUGAAACCUUGCUGGAUCUUGAGCCCAUUAAUGGGAUGUGGCACUUGAGCGAGAAUGGAAAACCUCGUGGGCAGAUUGAUGUAAUUAUUAUUGGUGAUACAGUGCUGCUACCUUUGCUCCCUCUCUCAUCAAAAAAUUGUCUUAAAAUUUUGCACUAAGAAAAUCUGUGUUUUUUAUAUUGCCGUGGCAAAAUGUUAAAUGGGCUUCACUUUUUUUUUUGGGGUGGGGGGUGGGGAUAAAAAAGAAAACAAAAGAAAAUUUUCAAAUUUUACAUUCCAUCAUUACCUCGGACUCAGGAGUGGGGAAAGGUUAAAGUUUUGUACAGUAAUAUAGAGAAACCCUCUGCCAAUCCAAACCUCUGUGAAAGGGAUCCCAUUUCAUGACAAUCUUUGUGGGUUUUGAGUUGGAAUACUCUGGCAGGUUAGAAGUUGUUUCAAUUAAUUAUCUAUAACAUAUGAGUUGUGUUAAAUUGUAUGACUAUAUAGUGAUUCAUUGUAGGAUACUAGGACAUCAAAGAGCUCAAAAUUUCUGACAGAUUUUCUUCCUAAAUUUGGUUAAAAUGUGAUGGAUAGAUUAGAACUAAGUUGCUCAGCAAUUUGUAGCUGUAAACAUCUAGAAGGCUGGAACUAAAUGCCAUUUGAUUAGGUUAGAAUAAUAUGAGCCGAGCUUACAAUCUUUGUCAUUCAUUCAAUUGCUUUUUCAGAUGACCACAAUUCAUCAUGUUGAUAUUAUCCGAUUGGUGCCUUGUAAAUUUCCUUUAUGACUAUGAUAUAGGGCAUUAUUGAAGAGUUGAAAAUAUCCAAAGAAAAUUAGCGAGAAUAGGUUCUGGAUUAAAAAGACAACUUUAUGCAUGUUUCCUUUCUGCUUCAUCAAUUGAUUAUAGACCAUUAAUUACCUAUGCCCUUUUUUGUUUCGGCUUUGCUUUACAGUAAUAGUGCCUAGAUGUAAUGAUAGGAAAAUGUGCGAAUCGGUUGUCUAUUCAUCUGGUGUACCUCUAAUAGCUAGAAAAAUGAAGGUAUAUAUCCUUUGAAAUAUUCAGUUUGUUUAGUGUCUAAACUAUGUUUUGUUCAGUCAACCAUUCCUAAAUUGUUUCGAAGCUUCAUGCUGCAUUUAUCCAGUUUGUAGAGCCUGGAACUAAGUUCUAUAUGGACAGUUCUUGCAGCAUCUGAGGAUCCCCUUCUGCUAGUAGUGCAGCAUCAUUAAAGGCACCUUUGUUAAUGGUGUUGAUUCUGUCUCAUGGACGGCAAAUAACUCAGUGAAGCUUUUUAGUUCCCAGAGUGAUGGUACUCAUUGUUGGACCUUUUUCAGCGCUGCAGCUUAUGGAAAAUGAAACAAGGUUCCACAGAUCUGUUGGUACAUAAAUGUGUGUCUUGUUUAAAAUACUUGUUUUCACAUGAUUAUAUGCUAGCAUUGACACACUUUUUUAUCAAUUGCCUAGACCUGUUGAAUCCAUUCAUACUUCAGCUUGAAAUCCGAGCUAUUGAAACAAGGCUGCAAUGAGUUCAGUUUUGGACUAUCCUUAUAGUUGUCCUAUUUCCUUUAUGGUUAUAAGUGCUGCGUUUGGCAUAUGAAUCUAAUUGAAUGAAAGUGAAUCAGGGGUUGGUCUUAAAAGCGCAUAUUGUUCAAAUACAAAAAGUAAUAUUAUUUGAGACAAUUCAUACGGCUUCCUUUGAGUGAAAAAUAGUCAUAUUACCAUUUAAACUGGCAUGAUAUGUUCUUCCAGUUUAUUUGAAGAAUUAUGAGAAGAACCUCAGGUGUGUUAACUAAAAAAUGCCCAAAAUGGACUGUUCAUAUUCAUGCCACUGAAUCCCAGGUAUGUUAAUUUUAAACUCCAAUUAAAUGCUCUAAUCUUUCUUCACUCAUUUUAGCAUGUAUUCCAUAAUUCAUGCUUUCUUCUUCCCCUUUUAAUUUUUCCUCUUCUUCUCUUUUAGCUUCCGUAGUAUUGGGAAUCAGUUGUUAUUGAUGUUGGAAAAAGGAAUUGUUUUAUUUGGAUCAUAAGAGGGACAAUCCUGAGCUUGAUUAUGUACUUUCCAUUUGACGCCAUUUAUAUUUAUAGGCUUCUUCAAUAAGUUGAUGUCGUUAUCUGUGUGAAUAUUUUUAGCUCUUGUAAUAAUGCUAUUUGAUUUCUGAUAACUAGUAAUUGGGUAUGGAAAGUGAAACAAGGUUUCCCAGGUCAGUUCAUAAAUAAAUAUAUGUUUACAUUCACGCACUUGCUAGUCAAUUGCUUAGAGCACUAGCAUAGUAGAAUAGCUUCACACUUUAGCUUGAAUUCCCAAGCUAUUGAAUGAGUUCAGUUUUAUGUGCAUAUUUAUUUAGAUUUGGUAAUAAUAUUAGCUUGAUUUUCUGCGUUAUACUUUGAAUCAAUAUAAUGUUUCAAUUUUACAGCAGAGAUUUAUGUUGCUAUUUAGCUUCAGAAAUAUCAGACAAGGAAUUUCAAACAUAAGCUCGAAGCUUGAUUAUUCACAUAUAAAUAAUGUGAUCUAUGUCGAUUGCAGAUUAUUUAGGAAGCAGUAUAGGUCAUACUGAGGUGUUAUCGUGCACAAAAUUAUUGUUUCAUCUGACAUAUUGUUCGCUUAAGCAAUAGUAAUGAACUUGAGGUGUUAGUUUUUGAAGUCUUCUGUUUAUAUAUAAGUUGUAUUGAAUCUCUCUCGACAAUCUUUCUUCUAGUUUUGAUCAUUGCAUCAUAAUUUUCACAUCUGUGUUUAUAAUAUAACUCUGUGCAUUACUUCAUCUUUUUCUCACUUUUUGAUUCCUUGCAUCUUGAAUCUGUUUAAUCAAUAUUCUGGACUUCUUUUGUGGAGAGGCUGCCCUUCUGAGAAUCUGUUUUCAGUUAUCACUUACCCCUUCUAAUAGUUUGCAAACCAGAUGUGGUUUUUGCAUGUUCAUAAACUUGCAAUGUAAUUUGUUUAUUAGUUCAGUUAAUACAAAUUUCAAAGAUGAAAAACACAAAACGACUAUUUAUUCCAAGCGUAUAUAUUUAUAUCUUGGACAGCAUUGAACUCUUUUUUUUAAAAAAAAAAAAUUGUUACAAUUGCCACAUUUGUAAUCUAAAAUUUAUUGGGAAUCUAGAUACAGACACUUAGUAGUGCAAUCAAAAAUAAAAAAAAUCUGUCGGACAUUAACUUGAAAAUAUGUUUCUACUACUAUUUGGAGAAGUGUAUAUUGUACGUGGCAUUGAACUUUUCUUUCUAUUUCUUUUUUCAAAAUUAUUACAAUUCACACAUAUUUCAUUCUAAAAUUUGUUGAGAUUCUAGAUACAAAUACUCAAGGAUACAAUUUUAAGCAAAUGAGCAGUUUGCAUAAUAUUUUACUCGUGGAGACUGGAGAUAUCUACCCUUAAUUAUUUAGUGAAAAUAAAUUAGAUAUCAAAUUUUGUCAUAACAAAAUUAAUCCAAAACAAAACAAAAGAUGUCACCUUAAUUGUUGAUAUAUCUGAAUCUUAUUAUCCUCCUUUUGCAACUAUGAAAACAAAAGAAUAUUUCAGCAGUGGCGAGAGAGCAGGGCAGAAUCAAGUAUAAAACAUAGGAUAAGGAACGAGAUUAUAACGAACAAAACUACCACUAAAUGAUGACAACUUUCAUUUCAUUUGCAUCUUCAUCCUCUCUGAUUCUUCAACCCCUUAAACCCCCAAAAUCCUCAAGACUCUCAAAAGCAAAGACACUAACUUCAACCAUUAAAGCAACUUCUUCUCAACCAAAACCCAACAACGCAAAUGCUAAAAAACCCACUUCAAGAAACCGCAGAAGAUCAUCGUAUGGCAGUUCGAGAAGGUCAGCUCUCAAGAAAACAUUCGCCCAAGAGCAAGUCACGUUCACUACACCCGUCUCCAGUGACCCGUGUGUGGGGAUUAUUGGUGGAGGCAUGGCCCGUCUCGCACUCUCGCUUGUGCUUUGAGUUUGGAUAAGAGAGGUGUAAAGUCCACUAUUUUUGACACGGUUUGUCACUUGUCUGGUUUCUUGGCCUUUUUUUUUUCUGUACUUUUGUGUUUUUGAUUGGAGAGCUUGAAGUGGGUGGCCAAUUCAAUUAUCUGUUUAAUAUGGUUAGGUUGUGUUUGUAUUUGAGAGUAUACGCUUGUAUAAUGGUAAUGUAAAAAAUUUGCUGUCAACAGUCUAGCAUGUGUUGUUAUGCAUUGAAUUUUGAUUAUAAGCAUCUUUUGGAAUUGAGGUGCUCUGACCUUUGAUCUGCGUUUGUUGAGGAAUGAAAUUAAAACAUUAGCUGCUAAAUAAAAAUGGGGGUUCAUCAAAAUUUUAGUCAACCACAUUUAUGUAUUCUUAACACUGUGCUUUGCUAUAUCAGGGGAAUCAUGGCUUGGGAGGAAGAAUGGGAACCAGAAUGAUUGGUCCUCAACCACUGAUAUUUGAUCAUGCUGCUCAAUUCUUUACUGUGACUGAUUCUCGGUUCAUGAGUUGGUUGAUGGUUGGUUGGAGAGAGGUCUGGUGUGACCAUGGGAAGGUGCGAUUGGAGAGCUUGAAGUGGGUGGCCAAUUCAAUUAUCUGUUUAAUAUGGUUAGGUUGUGUUUGUAUUUGAGAGUAUACGCUUGUAUAAUGGUAAUGUAAAAAAUUUGCUGUCAACAGUCUAGCAUGUGUUGUUAUGCAUUGAAUUUUGAUUAUAAGCAUCUUUUGGAAUUGAGGUGCUCUGACCUUUGAUCCGCGUUUGUUGAGGAAUGAAAUUAAAACAUUAGCUGCUAAAUAAAAAUGGGGGUUCAUCAAAAUUUUAGUCAACCACAUUUAUGUAUUCUUAACACUGUGCUUUGCUAUAUCAGGGGAAUCAUGGCUUGGGAGGAAGAAUGGGAACCAGAAUGAUUGGUCCUCAACCACUGAUAUUUGAUCAGACAGCAUCUUACAUGGCAUACCUUUAUUUUUAAAUUAUUUAAAUAAGUUCCUUUGUCCUUCAUGCCUUUAAUGCAUUUUGAUUCUUGUUGCAGACCUCUAUGGUUAGCAUAGUGAGACCUUGCUGGAUAAGUAAUCUUGAGCCAUUUAAUGGAAUGUGGCACUUGAGGGAGAAUGUGAAACCACGUGGGCAGUUUGAUGUGGUUGUUAUUGCUCAUAAUGGUGAUUCAGUGCUGCUAUCCUUUCUCGUUUUCUCUCUCUGUGGAUUGUUAUAGUCUUACAUUUGCAUUCCAAAAAUGCAGGUUAUUGUUUUUCGUAGUUGUAUGAACGUGACAAUUGCCUUUGCUAUUGGAAAAAAAAUAAAAUAUUUCUGAUUUUACUCUCUAUCAUUACAGUGGAUUAGGAAUGGAAAAUAAUCUGGUUUAUUACAGGGAAACCCUACCGAAAUCCAAACUCGGUCCCUCUCCCUAACCAUCCUGGAAUACCCUGGGGGGUUAGAAUGCAUAUAGUGUUACAUUAUAUGAUUUUGUAGUUCGCUGAGUUCUUAUGUUUUCUGGGAUACUAGGACUUCAAAAAGCGCUGAAAACUUCAUAGAAUUUCAUACUGAUUUUUCACUGUCAAUUUGGAGAAAAUGAUGGCUAGAUUACAAGUAAGAUUAAGAGCGACUUUUAAAUUUAAUCAACUGGAAGACUGGUAUUGAAUGGCUAUUAGUUAGGUUAGAAUAAGAUGAGCUAGACUUUCAAGCUGUGCCAUGCAUUCACUGGCCGUUGUAGUAUUACGUAGGUUGUUAUGGAAGUAAAAAAGAUCUCUAUAAAUUUAACAACCAGAUUAGGUUUCUAGAUCCAGAAGUCGAGGUUAUGUUUAUUUGCUUACUCUUUCGACUGUUAAUUGCCUAUGUCUUUUUCUGUUUACAUUUUGGCUUAGCUUUGUAAUAAUAGUUCCUUCAUGUAAUGAUAGGAAAAUGUGCAAACUGGUUGCUUGGUUCAUCUGGCUUACCUCAAAUAGCUAGACAAAUGAAGGUAUAUGCUUUGAAAUAUUCAGUUCUUUUAAUAUUAUCUAGCCUAUGUUUUAUUCAGUAUUGGCCAGUUCUAAUUAUUUUGAAGAUUCAUAACUCAUUUUCCUGGUUUGUAGAGGCUGGAACUAAGUUCUAUAUGGGCCCUUCUUGCUGCAUUUGAGGACCCCCUCCCACUGGGCAGUGCAUCAACAUUUGAAGGCGCCUUUGUGAAAGGUGUUGAUUCUGUCUCAUGGAUGGCAAAUAACUCAGCAAAACUUUUGAAUUCUCAGAGUGAUGCUCCUCACUGUUGGACCUUCUUCAGCACCGCAGCUUACGGAAAACAAAACAAGGUUCCACAGGUCAGUUUGUAUAUAAAUGUGGGUCUUCUUAAAAGUACUUGCUUACACAUGAUAAUAUGCUAGCAUUGGCACACUUUUUAACCAAUUGCCUAGACCUCUACUUGAAUCCAUUCAUGCUUCAGCUUGAACUCCAAGCUAUAGAAACAAGGCUGCAAUAAGUUCUGUCUUUUUGUGCAUAUUUAUGUUCCCUUUUAUACUUGAAUCAAUAUGACAUUUCAAGUUUACAGCGAACUUUGGUGCUGUGUGGAUAUAUAUAUGUUGCAAUUUAGGCUUUCUGCAAGAUUUUUAAUGAUUUUUUUAUCAUUUAUUAGGAAAAUAUCCCAACUGCAACAGCAGAGAAGGUGAAAAAAGGUAUGCUCGAGGGUGUUGAAGCUGCACUUGGCCGACCGAAAGGUUCACUUCAGAAGCCCAUUUAUACUCGAGUCCAUUUAUGGUAAGACUCCACUUUUAAGGACAUGACCUUGUAAUUUCAUUUUUUUAUCUUGUCCAAUUUGGAUCCUUGUAACCUACUUGACCUGUAAAUAUUUGCUGUUGGUGUUGGUUUAGAAUGAGUGGUUGAUUUGAACAAGCUUAAAAAGUUAUUGUGUGGACUUGUGUAUAGUCCUAGUUCUAUUUUCCUGUUACGCUCAUUUUUAAAAAAAGAUGGAACAUGUCAUUCCAAUUUAUUAAAUAAAUAAAACAACUUCAGAAUUUCAUGAUUAAGAAAAUAGUUCCUAUGUGAUGAAUUAGGUAUUUAUUUAUUUAUAUAUCUAUUUUAUUUAUUUAUUUUUUUGGGGGGGAAAUGUGUAGGGGUGCAGCUCUUCCAACUAAUACUCCAAGUAUUCCAUGUAUCUUUGAUCCUCAUGGAAGGGCUGGUAUAUGCGGCAAUUGGCUGUUGGGUUCAAGUGUAGAGUCAGCUGCAUUGAGUGGCAUGGCUCUUGCCAAUCAUGUAAGCAAGAAUAUGAUUUUUCUUUUGCUUAUUUGGUUUUAUUUUGUGCAUGUAACUAUAUAUUUCAUGAUUGAUAUAAAUAAAAUAAAAUAAAUCUAAGACAACCAUUCUAUCCCUAUAGGGACAUCUAAAUAUAAAUUUGCAGGUUGGCUUCAAUCAGAUUGAAAUAUCAGACAAGUUUCAACAACAUUAGCUUGAAGCUUGGUUAUUCUUAUAUAAAUAACGUAAUCGGUCUAUGUAGAUUGCAGACUAUUUAGGAAGUGGUGGAGUUCGUCCUGAGGAAUUUGCUGUCGGUUUACACAACGAGUUUCAAUUGCUCGAAGGACAUGAUAUUGGACAAUUCCCGGGUUUGGAGUCCGUGAAAAAAGAGCAAGUUCAAGCAUAUCAGCUUACUUCUUGAAUCCCUAAGCAGGCCACAAAAAUUUCU
Molecule: long non-coding RNA, 56458 nt
Filed under: Citrus sinensis (sweet orange)
Lineage: Eukaryota; Viridiplantae; Streptophyta; Magnoliopsida; Sapindales; Rutaceae
Description: long non-coding RNA (CSIN_LNC003566)
Rfam family: Plant small nucleolar RNA R71 (bases 22175-22281)
Source: RNAcentral